RNAcentral lists this long non-coding RNA (65601 nucleotides) under Citrus x clementina. Its description in RNAcentral is "Citrus clementina (C. clementina) long non-coding RNA (CCLE_LNC002958)". Lineage: Eukaryota; Viridiplantae; Streptophyta; Magnoliopsida; Sapindales; Rutaceae. The record is from RNAcentral.
CAUGGAAAUUAUGGUGUGAAGGAGAAGCUCUGGAGCUGAUGGAUCCAGUACUCAAGCAGUCAUGCGUGGGCGCUGAACUUCUGAAAUAUAUACAUAUUGGAUUGUUGUGCGUUCAGGAAGACCCAGCCCGCAGACCUAGCAUGUCAUCUGUGGUUGUAAUGUUGGCGAGUGAUACAAUAACACUUCCUCCACCAGCCCAGCCUGCAUUUUCUGUUGGCCGAAUGGUUGCUAGUUCUGGUCCAUUCUUUUCAUCAGAUUCUAAAUUUUGCUCUAUUAAUGAGAUUACUCUUUCAAGUGUGUAUCCUCGUUGACAAUUUUCAGUUGUCCAAAAAUUCAAAGACAGUUUGUUUCCGUGGACCAUCGUUUGUUUUACGAACCCUCUACAAAAUUAAUUUCUGUGCCUGCAAAGUGCACGGUGUAGCUGGACCAAGAUUUUGCCUAAAUUCUAUUUAAUCAUAACCCUUUGUCAAAUCAAUAAUGGAAAAACUUGUUGGUACUACAUGUUAAAAUAAUUUAUUCUGGCAAUUAGUGUAGCUCGACUAGUUGUCAAUACACUUUUCAUCCAUGGUCAUUUGAGUUUAAUUAAUAAUAAGUGUUUCAUACGUCUAAAUACUUGUUCGUUUCUUUAAUUUUCAUCAAUUAUAGGAAUUAUUAAAAUGAUUAGACAGAAAUUCACAGACACCUCCAAAUCUUUGGAAUACAUUGAGUCCAAACUCCAACCUGAAAUUUUUUUUUCUUUUUACUUUUUCCAAUGAAACGUUUAUAUAAGUCGGGAAAGGCAUAUAAAAAAAUUUAACUGGCCUAAAGAUAAAAAAUAGCACUUUCAUGGGAGAGAAAGUCACAUACACCUCCAGAUAGUCAGGAAAGACAUAAAAGAUUUUAACUGACCACAGGAUAAUGGAUAAAUAAUCUCUAAGUCUCCCAAUGAGUGAAUGAACAUAUUUCCGCUGGAACAAUUUCAGAAAUCCAUUUCCUUACAUCUGCUGAGGGAAGUCUGUAUAAUCCUGAAAAUUAAAGACAGAAAAAUAAAAAAAAAUGAAAAUAUUAUAUUACUAGUUAACCAGCCAGCCACCUGGAGGACCUUGGAAUGAAAAAUAGUCCCGGCAGUUGUGUUAUUAUUACUCCAGUGCAGUAAUAUAACUCCUACAAAAUUAAAUUCACAUAUAAAACCAUUUAAUUUGUGUAUUAAAAACAAUAACACAGUGGAGAUCACUAUGUAGAAUUAUGACCUAUGACGGCCAAGCUGCCCCAGUUGACAAGAGAACCAUAUGCAUAUAGAAAAGAAACAACUUUAGUCAGAAUCUCUUCAGUAACUGUGAAAAUAGACUCAGCAUUUAGUCACCUAAUUGAAAAGGGUCUAUGAAUCUUUAACAAAAUAUGUUAAAAGAAGACCUUCAAUCAAAUUAAGUACGUACCCGAUUAAUUAAUUGAGUGCAGUAAAUAAUCCGCUUAAAUGCUUUGGAGUGAUUUCCGCAACAUAUUGAGACAAUAUACUGAACAAAUCACUUAUUAUGACGAAAAGGGUUUGUGUUACUGGGAAUUAAAACAAUAUAGACAGAUAUAUAUGUGUGUGUGUGUGUAUCAGUGUGUGUGUGUAGGUGGAAUAGGGGAACUAUACCGCAUAUAAAAGCAAGCCCUAAUCUACCAAUGUCGAGACACUUUAAAAUUGUGCACUGGUUUGGUUUAAACAGAGUGAAAAAUCUUAUACUAUAUGAAAAAAAAAGAAAAAUUCUACGUGACUGCUGACUAGUGAGUAGUGACAAUUGAAGUAAGGCCAAUUUCACUGCGCGGAAGAUCAUUCUAUUGCUGGUCCAAGUUGGGCCAAGGCCUCAAAGCUAAUCAUUUUCUGUCCAAAAUUAGCCUUAAAUUGGCCCAUCAAUCAUUUGCAUGUUUUUACCAUCUUGAGUCGUUACUUAAGAUAUGGGAGUCUAUUUAUUUAAUUUUUUUCACUUGUCUCUUCAGUUUAUUAAAUCAAGACUUCCCCAUUAAAACAAGACGACUCAUAUCUAUGCAUAAGAGAAUUUAAUAUCUAAAGAAAUUAAUAUUGGUACUGAAAUUGCUUUAAUUUUAUGGAAUCAUGGAUACAAGUAAUGAGCUAGCCGUUGGAGGCUAAACAGGAAAUAUAAAACCGAGCCUAGACAUAUGCUAUACAGAAGUGAUUAUGAUCUAAGCCCACAGGAUUAAAGUUAUGUAACUAAUGAUAUUUAUUUAAUUGUCAUACAUCCGUAACUCAUCUGGUUCAUUGAAUUAAUCUUUGUUGUUCUUUACAAACUUAAUUCACUCCUUCAGUAAUAAAGGGUUAGUUAUUGAAAAAUCUCCAAUCACAGGAUUUAAUCUUUGCUUAGAUUAAUCUCGUUGACAAUCAUAAAGAAAAAUGAAAUGCAUGUCAUCUCAAGUUGAUGGGAAAAAAUCACUAAUUAAGAAAAGUCACAGAUCCUACGGCUGCUGUUUAGUAAAAUGGAUAGUCAAUGGAAACUGAAGGGGUCAAAAUAAUUCAGAGAGCCACAUUGUCUGUUUCAGGAUUUGAUAAGUUAAUUGAUCAUGAAUUAAAAAAAAAUUAAAUUUUAGACUAGGAUUAAGAUAAACUCACCUUUCUUAUACCAAAUAUAUUGGUUAAUGGCCCAAGAGCUUGGAUUUGGACAAAAUAUUUAGAAGCCCAAUAACCCAUUUGCCUAUUUUGACCCAACUAUUUCAUAGAUUGACCAAAAAAUUAUUGCGAUUGCAUGUAAUGUGACACUAACUGUGUAAGAUAGAUUGAGCAACGUAAUCAAAGAAAGGAAUUUUUUUUUCAAGGGUCAAAAGUAGUAUUGUUUGGAGAAUACAGGCAUAUUAUACGAUGAAUCAGUCAAUUUAUUAAUGGAGGAAAGCAAUUCCAUUAUUUGACAACUAUUGGGAAAGAAAGAAAAGCCGGAGAAGGAACCUUGGCAAAUACUAUAGCUAGCCAGCCUAGGAUGCAAAAUAAUUCAGAGAGCCACAUUGUCUGUUUCAGGAUUUGAUAAGUUAAUUGAUCAUGAAUUAAAAAAAAAAAUUAAAGUUUAGACUAGGAUUAAGAUAAACUCACCUUUCUUAUUCCAAAUAUAUUGCUAAUUUUCCACUUAAUAUUGCACCUAGCAUUCCUCUAGUUGUCAUUUUUGAAUCAAAAUUGAGUAACGCAUGCGGAAUGAUAUUCAAUAUAUAUAAAACGAAUUCACAUUUACAAUUAUGGCUUGAUUAUAAAAAGAUAAGAAGAUAAGAUUACAUGUACAGUAUAGUAGGCUUUUUGUCAACAAACCGACAAAAGAUAAAAUAUUAAAAGGCUUGAUUAAAAUCUAUUAGCUACAGUAAAUUAUCGGUGAUUCAGCGUCGAUGAGAAAAAUUAUAGGUAAAAGACAUUUUCACACUUUUUUCUUAUUGGACAGUGAUAAAACAAAGACACUUAGAAAUUAAUUUGGAGAAGCUCGACCAAAUUAUUGAAUAAAUCCGUAAAUACAAAUUUUAGGCUUGACCAUGCUAUCCAGUUAUAAUACAAUGUCAAUUUGGAAAUACCACAGUCUAAUGUCAAUUAUGCAUAUUAAAACAUGGAAACAUUCGCUGUUUGAUGUUUACAACUGGGACAUAUUAUCUAUUAAGUUUAUUUCGAUAUGCAUUACUUGAUCAUCAAAGAAUUUUAUAGACAUAGUUAAUUUGUCGUAAAUUAAUAGAUGAUACCAAAAGCAGCUAUGCAUGGAGCUUUCCAUGAAUGGGCCAUGAUGCCAGACUCAGCACCAGAUGAGUAUGACCCACCUGCAAAAUAACAAAAAUGAAUAGUUAAGUCAAAGGCAAUGAAUGUGAUAAGAUCCACGUGUCAGAUUUGUUGGGAGCAGCCUGAUGCAACAAAGUCCCCACGAAUCUAAACUUGCCACGUUACCAACGUAGAUGACAUAGACUUCUUCUUCUUUUUGAUUCUAUCCUUUUAAUUUUUAAACGAGUAUGUGUGAAAACUCAGACAAUAUGUAGAGUGAAGUAAUGCAUAUCGAAAUAAAAUUAACAGAUAAUAUAUCCCACUUGUAAACAUCACACAGCGAAUGUUUCCAUAUUUUAAUAAAUUGACUGAUUCAUCAUAUAAUAUGCCUGUAUUCUCAAAACAAUACAACUUUCGACGUCUGAAAAAAAACAAAAUCCGCUCUUUGAAUACGUUGCUCAAUCUAUCUUACACAAUUGGUGGCUUGGUGCAUGUCACAUUAUAAGCAAUCGCAAUAAUUUUUUGGUCAAUCUAUGAAAUAGUAGGGUCAAAAUUAGCAUAAAAGUGAUUAAUGGGGCCGAUGAAGUAUAAUGAGUAGAUCAAAUAUUAUAGUUCGAACUGAUAAUCUGAUAUAAUCAAAUCUUCAACAAGAUAAAUAUGAUCCUCGUGUUUCACUCAAUUUAUCCCUAUGUUACAUCAAUUUAGCUACAUAGCCUUUUCAUUUAGAAUGGGUGCCUCACUUUCCACAAAUUUGAAAUAAUAUUUUAUAUUUUUUUUAAGGAUAAGCCUUAAAAGUAAUGUCUCUGACACAUUCUAUUAUUACUAUAUUGUGUUUAGCACAUUAUAUGUUUUAUGUUGUAUUGUAUUAUUUUAAUGCAGAUAUAUUGUAUUAUUUUGUAUUAUAUUAACACUAUAUUAGAAUAAUACUAUACAACUUUUGGUGCUACACUGUAUUGUAUUAAUUUUUAAUUAUACCAUGUUGGUACUGCAUUAUACGUAUUAAUUUUUUUGUGAUUAAUUUAAAUUAUAUAUUUAAAAAAUAAUAUUUAUUAGUACUUAGAAAAAUACUAAAUAUAGAAGUCUUACAUUUUAGAAAUUUAACUUUUUUUAGUUUAAAUGUUCAAAAACAUCAUAAUUCUUUGUAAAGAUCGAAGCUUAUAACCUUAAAUUUUAUGCAGCAUGAUUUAUUUCCAAGUAUUUUCGAAAUAUACAACCUGUGAAAUAAAGAUUGAAGUAAAUAAUUUAAUCAAAUAAUCUCCAAAUAAUAUAACAUCAUAAAUAAAUAGUUAAAGCCUAUAAGAUUAAUUCAAAAGUCAACUUAGGAUGAUAAAAUAAAAAUUUGUACAUAUGACAGGAUAAUCACAUAAUAACAAAGUGAUAUAAUAUUUGGAACAUAUUUACUAACAAAAUAAAUUGUACUAAAUAAAUCAAGUAAGAGUUAUGUAGUAUAUGUAAUAAUAUAUUAUAUCAUUAUUUAAGUUAUUAUUAAUUUUAAGAAUAGCUCAUAGGAAAUAUAGCUUAUAGAUUUUUUUUUAAUUGUCUUUUGUAUUCCAUUAUAUAAAUAGAUAUAAUUAAAUUUUUGUUAUUAGUUAUAUUGAAUUGUUAAUUAAUAAUCAUUUUUUAUCUAUUAAUUACUAUAAUAUAAUUAUAAUUAAUAUUAUGUUAUGUUCUUAUUUUUAUAUAUUGUUCAAGUAUUUACUAUUAGUUAUAUUAACUUAUUAAAUUUAAUCAAUUUUAUAUAUGAAUUAUUAUAAUGGAAUUCAACAUACAUUAUUUACUUAUAUUUUUAAUAUAAUAAAAAUUAACACAUAACAUAAUAUUAUAUUAAAUUAAAAAGUUAUAAUUAUUUAUUAUUAUUAUAAAGUUAAAAACGACAACUACUGCCUUAGCUAAACUUGGCUGGGAGUUGGGUUUAAUUGAUGUAGCCACUUGCUACAGCCAAAUAUGGGGUUGCAUGGAUAAUGCGAUGCAACUCCAUGUAAGGAGGGGUGCCAAACAUCCCCAAAGUGCUAUAAAAUACUAUUUAAAGAUUAGUGUUGGAUCUAAAAUCCUCAAAAGUAGUCUCUCUAUCACAUUUUAUUGCUACUAUAAUGGUUAAAAAGUGGUGAUUAUGUUAAAAAUUUAUAUUAUUCAUAGUUGUCCUUCCUCAGCAAAUGUAGCCUAAAAUGAUAAAAACUUAUGUAGGUUAUGCAUCACAUCUUAAUAUGUUAAGGUUGUGCACCCAAAUGAAUAAGAACUUACUUUUGCUAGGACUGCUUGGUAUUGUGGUGGAACUAUCUAUUUUAAUGCUAUGUGUUAAGGAUAAGCAAGUUGCCAAGCUAUUAGCUAUCGUGUCAAGUGAAUUUGCAACAUGUGAAUUAGUUUUAACUAAUUGCCAUGUGGCAACUUAUGAUAGGAUGUUACUAGAUUCAGGUGGUCAUUGUUAGUAAAGUUGUUAGUGAAGCACCGCUGACAUAAGUUGAACUCAGAAUGCCCACUAUGAAAAGUUAGAAAGUUCCAAUAAAGUCAGAGCAAACAAAAAAGUUAGAAAGUUCCAAUAAAGUCAGAGCAAACAAACAUGACCAACUCGAGCGAUUCAACAUCAUCUUCAAUUUCCUUUUCUUUUGUUCAGCCAAUUGAACUUGAUAGAACAAAUUACCUUGUGUGGAAAGCUUAAGUUCAUGCAUCGAUCAUUGUCAAUGGCCUUCGAGGUUUCAUUAACGGGAUUCUCGAGAUCCAAAUCGGUUUCUCACUGAAAUUGAAGGUGAUUCAUGCAGAUAUGAAGUUGAAAGUUCAAGACAAUAUGCGAAACAUAGCUACAAUGACUAGAAGAAAACCAACAAACUUCUACAAAGCUAGAUGCUAUUUUCUAUGGUGGAUAAUGUGUUUAUCAUUGUGGUUGGCAGUGCACUUUGCUUAAUCUUUAGGAAAAGCUUGUAGAAAUGUUCAUUUCUCAAUCUAAGACUCAUUGUAUGCCUUUGAAAAUGUAGGUUCAAGUCAUGAAGAAAGAAGAUCUUUCCAUCAGUGACUGCUUUAACAAGAUGAAGAAAUUUACAGAUAGCCUAGCUAUUGACAUUAAUCCUCUUUUUUUAAAUGAUUUUAUCAUGCAUUUGCAUACUGGCUUGGAUGAAAACUAUAAGUCUCUUGUCACAAACAUACUUGUUAGGAUGGAAAAGGUAUCAUUGUUGAAGAAGUAUCUUCAUUGAUACUUAGUCAUAAAACUAGAAUGGAGAUAAGUAAAGAAAAGACACAGAAUGAAAUUUACAUGAUAUAUUAGCUAAUUUUGCUUUGAGAGGAUAGAACUCAAAUAAGCUUAGUAACAACAAUCAAAGGAGUUUUAAUAGUGGAAAUUUUGGGGGAUUUGAGGAUUGAUUCAACGGUGUGAUAGCAAAAUCAUCUAUCAGAUUUAUUUUAUACCUGGAUAUAAAGCCUUUAAAUGCAGAAAUAUGUUCAAUUAGGACUUUAUUCAUAAGCAAUGAAGAGGUGGUUUUAGGCCAUAAGGUGGUUGUUGUAACUUUUUCUUGUGUUAUUGGUGUCAAUGUACAAACGUACAUAACAAGUAAUAUAAUGAUAAGUAUUCAAGAUCGCCUCCACAGGAAUUGAUGUUAUCAGACUUGCUAUAGCAAUCUUAACAGUGCAGAUUGUUUCAAAUUAAAAUGAGAAAAUUACUAAAACUAAUAAAAUAACUAAAAUGUAAUAAAUAAAAUAAAAUAAAUAAAUGUAACACCCCAAAACUAACACGUGCGGAGCACGUGAAGAAGGAGUUUACUUACAGAUCGUAAUCCUUACUCAUCAAAUUCCAAACUGAAAUACCUCAAAUUUAUAAUCAAAUAAAUCCACAAAUUCAAACGUCUAACACUAAAUAAUCUCUCCCAAACAUAAAGACAACAAAAGUCUCAAACUCUAAAUUACAAGUUCAUAACAGAAAUAAACUGAAUAGAAAUAUGAGUCUAUUCCUCUUCUUAAUCAAAUGGCAAACGGAAAUGAAAAAUUACUAACUCCAAAGCUAAGCGCACCUCUCAAAAGAAACUUAAUCUGCAAAAGGUAAUGACGAGGGGUGAGCCGUCAACUCGGUAAGUAAAACAAUUCCUAACAUACUAGGCCUAUCGAUACAAAAAUAUUGCAAGCCUUCUUUUGUUUAAAACAUAUAUCAUAAUCCAUAAAUUUCAUAAAACGAUAUAUCACGAUAACAUAACAUAAAUUCUUAAUAAUUCAGAAUAUCCAAAAGCAUAUUUACUUACGAAGCAUCAUAUAAUAUGUAUACAGAAAACAAAAUGUUAGCUCAUGUCACAUAGUGUCACCUAUAGUCCCGGUGACCUAGCCAGAAACAGAAUCAGAAUAUCGUGUGCACACUCAGAACAGAAACCCAGUACUGGUCCAGACAGAUAUAUCAUAUAUUACGAUCAGAAUCAGAAUCAUAACAACUAUGGACAAUAAGCCAAAACAUUAGGAAUCUCAUGCAAUCAUCAAUAAUUGAAAUCAAACAUGGGUACAAAACAUUCGUAUCAGAUUCAUAAAAGUCCAUAUCAAUAAUUUAGGCUUGCAAAGUAUUUUAUAGAUAAAAUCAUAAAAGGUAGUCAUGUCAUAAAAUAAUUUACAUAUUUAAAAGAAUUUAUAAAAUACCUUCUUAAAAAGAAUUUAGGCUUUAAAACAUUUACAUAAAACUAAUUUUGUUAUGAAAAUCCAUUAAUCUUCUAAGUAGUAUAAAAAUAUUUUUACUUAUACUAAUAAUAUCAAAAUACUUAUACAUAUCCAGUAUACUAGGAAUGAAGUUACUUAUCUCGACUAAAGAAUUUGAAUUAACACGCCUCUAAGCCUCUAAGAGCCUCAAUCACCUCCAACACCUUAAAGAAAUACAAGAUAUGACAAUUAAUAACUUAUUCUAAGAAUCUGACUUUCUAAUUCAUACCCGUACAGGUCUGAUUCUCAGAAUUUUAACUCUUGAUCUAUAACUCAUAACGACAUAAUGUUCUAUGGAACUGUUAUGGACAUCCAUGAGUACCCCAUGUAAAAUUUGCAAGAGGAUUCGACAUCAAAAACAUUUUCAAAACUAUUUAUGUCUCAACAAUUUUGAAACUGUUUUCACAUAACGUAAACCAAACAGAACGGGUUCUGUGAUUUUUAUAAAAUAAAAUACUAAUCAGAAAAUUAUGAAAUUAAAACUGGGAUUCCUAGACACAUAAUUUAACCUACAUAUAAACUUUCAGAAUUUUCAGAGUUCAUUUGGUGGUACAAAUAAUCUUGUGAAUCCGAUCGCAAUGCUGGAAUCGCAGUUUUCCAGUGCAGUGGUUUCUAUUUCGAAAAUACAUAUAAAAUUGAAAACGAAGUCGAAUUUAAUGAAAUAAAAUUUACUCAAGAAGCCUACAUGUAUAGUUUCCAGAAAUAUAAAUUUUAGAAGAAAAAUCCUUCAGAAAAUAUAGGUUUAAAUUCGAGAUACUCAUGCUGUCCAGAAUUAUCCUGUGCUUAAUACGUCAAUGAUUGAUUAACUAAACUCAUAAUAAAUCAAAACCCUAAACAAAGCCUAAAUACAUUCUAAAUAAUGCAUUAUGAUCUAUAACCAUCUAGAAUCGUGCCAAUAUAAACCCUAGAUAGAGUAAUUAGAAAUCUGUUGAGAAUAGGGAGAAUAACUUACCCGUCGCUUUGAUUCUCUCCUAAACAAAGGUUUGAAUCCUAAGAUUUGGGUAGGAGCGUAAAGAGCAGCAGAGAAGAAGAAUAAAUGUCGUGGACUUAGGGUUAUGGAAGGGAAAAAAAGUGUGAAUUUAUAGGGAGUCUUAAGAAACCCUAUUUAAUUAGGAAAAAUAACCUUUUUUCCAAAAUUAUCUCAUAAAUAACCUCUAUUUAUAAUUAGUAUCCCUUUCUUAAUAAGGGUUAUAGGCCACCCAUAAUUCUCAAAGAAAGUCCAAUUUUCAUAAUUUAAUAUUAUGGAAAUUUGUGGCGUUACAAUAAAACUCUCACAGUAAACACAAGGAUAAAACCAAUAAGCAUGGAGUAGUAGAGUGAUUAAACUCUCUUAAUGGUUUUAACUAUUUCUUCUAAUUUUAGGCUCAGUUGCUACAAUAUCUGCUACAGUACUGGGCAGUAUCCUAUUGUACCCUCAGUUGUCGCAUGUUAGAUGUCUUAUAUCUUUAUGCAACCUAAUUGUGACCAAUUGUUAUGCCAAUAUAAGAUAUAACAUUACAUGCUUAGGUUCUAAUUACCCUAUAAGGUGAAUCUCUAUGCCUAGUUCAUUACUAAUUUUAGAUUAAGUAUGGCCCUUUUGGAAUUAAGUAAAACUCAACUCAGGAAAUCCAACCUAAAACCAAGUAUUGCUCUUAUAUAUUCCACUAAGAUAGACCCUUUUAUGGCUCUUUCUUAUCUUGUAUCAUUAAAUGGAUGGUCAGCCGAAAUAAUAAAUAUAAAUAAAUAUUAUCAAAACAAAAUGCUAUAGCAAACAUGCAGCACCGCAUAUAUUUAGUUAGUAAACCAUCAAGAUUGUUUAUCACUCAACCACAAAUAAAUUUAGUUCAUAAUAUAUAAAAGAAACAUGAACAAUAAAGUUUUAGCCAUCAAAUACAUCCUCAUGAUUAAAAAAUAAACAAGAAAACAAGAGAAAACUAAGAAGGACUGGAUUCCCGAUUGAUUUUUGCAAACUCUCCUCUGACGCAGCCCUUGAUUUUGCUCUUCGAUUUUGUCUUUUCUUUUGUUUCUUUUCGGUUUUUAUUCUAGGUUGAUGGCCUCUUUUUGUUUUUUUUUUGCGCGUGUGCUCCUUUUAUAUAUGAAAAUUAGGGCAACUGGAAGUCUAAGGCACGUAUCUUCUAGAUUUAGAAACUCCAUAUCGUAAUCUGUUAAGUGUCUCUCACGAAAUCUUCUCUUUUAAUGCUCCAGGAUUGCUACAGCAAUGGUUGCUAUAGCAAUGGCUGCAACAUCUGCAUUGUUCCAAACUUAUUUCAAUUCUUCUGCAGCUAUGUUUUUUCAUUUUUUUUGCAAGCUAUUGCAACAACAUCCUUUCCUUGAGAUUCGAACUUCCAAUUACCUACACUUAUGUAUAUGAUUUAAGCACACAAUUAUUCGAAAUCAAACAAAAUUUACUAAAAUUAAACUAAAAUGGAUGUUAAUACAAACUAUCAUCAAAAUGCAAUAAAAACACAUCAUUUACUCUCUAAGUAAUCUUGAUUUAAUCUAAAAAUAUCAUGAUAACUCUCAUUUUAUAGAGUUAUCACACCCCCAAAUUUAAACUAUUACUUAUCCUCAAGUAAUGAUAAUAACAUUAAUACUCAAUCACACAAUCACACAUUAGUAACAUAGCUCUGCCAUCAAGCUUGCAAGGAUUCGUCAACCUUUAGAUCACACUCUUACUGGUGCAAAAUUGACAUAGUAGUUCAAUUAUAGACUUAGGCAUCCUUUUGUCCAGGGUGUAUGUAUGCCACUUUGAUCAAAUUUCAGAGAUGCUGCAACAUUGCACUGCUGUUAUAUACACUUUAGAGGUAGAACACAAGUACAUUCACACAUAAGGGAAAUAGAAAUCACAAACAAGUUCAAACUAUGCUAUAGCAAAAUAUUCUCUCUCUCUCUCUCUCUCGGGUUUUUUUUUAGAUUUCUCUUCAAUGUAUCAUUGAUUUUUUAUAUAAAUGUCUAUCACUUGUGGUGAUAACACCCAAUUUCUCACUUAAUGUACAAAUCAGAGUUGCUGUAGCAAUGCUCACGACAUAGUUUUAUCUAUAAACAUCUUUAACUCAUGGUUGAAUAUGGGGCUCAUGAACAGACCUGGUUACUCAAUAUCCUAGACAUAAGACCUUAUCUCUCUAUUUUUUUUUUAUGCUACAGCAAUGCUCAUGGCUCUUAUUGUCUUUGGACUCAGGUCUGCAUAUGGGGUACAUACUCAGCUCUGGUUACUCAGUAAUUUAAGCCAUUAGAGCUAAAUUUAUACAAGCACAAUUCAACAAAAAAUUUCCCCCAAACUUGAAAUUUUGCUACCUUUCUCAAUUUUCUAGCUUCUGUUACAACAUUCUCAUAAAACUCAGCUAAACCCUAAGUGUUAGGAUAAAAUUCCAACCCUCAUCCAUGAAUUAAUUCUACUUGGCGAUCUCAAAAAUUGAAUAAAACUCACUUUAUCUUCGUGAGGUUUUUCACUCCAUACACAACUACUAGAUAGCAGAGUUACGCAUAACACGAAACACACAAUGCACAACACAAAUACAUGCACCAACACAACCCCCCCCCCCCCCAAACUUGAGAGGUGUUGUGUCCUCACAAGCACACAAAACAAAACAAACCACACAUGCAUACAUUGGCACGAAAGAAAAGCAAAACAAUUAAAAACAAAAGAAAAGUCUCAGAACUUGAAAGAAAUUAGAUUGGGCUAACAGGGGUACUCUCUAUUGUUGGAUGGUUUGCUACAGCACGAGUUGAAAGGUCACUACUUUUUGGUGGAACUCCUCAAGCGGUCCUUGGGCAAACCUUGUGGUGGGAUAGUGGGUUGCUUUUUCUUCUGGCUUAAUGAUGGACUUAUUAGUGGUGUUCCAAUAGGUACACUAGCUUUGGGCUGAAUGGUUCUUGCCCGCUUGUGCUUUGGUUCUUCUAGUGUUGUAGCACCUCCAGAGGUGGCCUCUUUACAUUUGCUAGAUCCCUUGGGGGCUAUGGGAGGAGAUUUGGUUGGCGUUUAGUGUGGAGCAGCUGGAGCAGGUUUUACUGUAGCAGAGUCCUCAGUAGUGAUUUAAGCAAUGAUGUCUAAGAGGCUCUUCUUCUUUAUAACUAUUUUAGUAACCCUUGUGGCAGCUACUUCAAGUUCUGCAUCAAUGUCCUCUGGAUCUUUCUUUGAGUCGUCUUCUUCCAUAAUAUUUUCUUUACCCUUGCUAGAGAGGACUGGGAUUAAGGGCUCAACAUCUUGCUCCUCCUCUGGUUCAUCUUCAUCAUCUCCGAUGAUGUGUUUUUGUCUUCUUUUAGGAGGCACCAUUUGAGCUACCUCAUCUUUCUCCCCCUUUGGGCCCCUUCUUAUUCUUCUUCUCCUAGUGAGCUGUUAGUUUCUAAUUCAGUACCUUCUGUUUCUUUUGGUGCUAGUUGGUCAUUGUUUGUUGACUCUAAUUCCUUUUCACUGGUUAUUGUUUGAGUGGUCGUAGCAUCUUAUUAUGUUGGGUGGAAGUUAAAUUAUUGUAGUAAAGUGUCAGGAAAGUCUAUGUUUUUGCUUUUCAUGUUGAGAGCAAAUUGAUACAAGUGGUCUUCAAGAUGCAUCAAAUCCAAAAUCUAUUAUUUUCUCUCCGUUGUGCCUUUACACAUUGACUGAUAUUGUCACUAAGCUCUUGCAACCUUCUUUCGACCCCAAUGACCCUCUUUGCAUUUACUACAACAAUAGGCUCUAGUGUACCUACAACAGAUUCUCUAGUAAUUCUUUCUAUGGUUCGAGUAGUGAGAGCUCCUUCAUUCUUAAUACGUUCAUCUUUAGUAGUUAUGCUCACUCCCGACACAAGACAUAUGCUGGUGAUAAAAGAAGGAAACAAUAAGGUAGCAAUUUUGUGCUUUUUUAUAGCACACUCUCUAAUCUCUCUCGAUAGUUGUCCCAACAUCAAUUGGCAACCCUUUAACAAUAACAUAUAAAAGAAUCAACCUUUCCUGGGACACGGUGGUGGUGUGUGUUGUAGGCAUCAAUCUAGAUUUCAAAAACUUUACCCAAACUUUGGUAAUCGGUUUCAAAUCAAUCCUAUUUAUUACUCUACCUUCCUCAUUUCCUAAGAACUCCCAUCUACAGUAAGGAUUUUGAGCAUACUAUUCCAUUUCUUGGGGGUCAUGCUUCCAAUCAUUUUUGAGUACUCACAAUCAACAUUAGAAGGUAAAUUGUAAAAAGUAUUGAUUACUCUUGGGUCUAAAGAGACUUGAGUGUUCCUUACCCACAUUAUUCGUUGCUCUUACCCCAACAUUUUGGCAUAAAAUUCCUUGACAAUCGGCAGUAAAAGAUCCCUUGGAUGUUUAUAAAAUUCCAACUAGCCCAUUUUUGCUACAAUAAUGUGGAUAGUGUAGAUUAUUCCAGAAAGUUGUGGCGGGAAUUGGAACCCCUUUUGUUCUAAAAUGUUUCGUGGUUCGAUAAAUUCUUCAAACUUUUCUUCAGCUUUGUAGCCUUGGAAGCGUGAUGGAUUCUUUAGACGGCUUGCCAUCUUCUUGUAUCUCGUCAUUGCUGGAGCAGUUGAAAUAGAUUUGUUGGAUAACAAAGGCUUAAGCUGUAAAAAGAAUCAUGAAUUCUAAGGACUCUUGCUGAGAGAGGAGAAAAAUUUUGAGUUAAAUUCCAAUUGGUACAAUAAAACUCUAAUAUAUAAGUGAUGGUAAAAAUAGAAAUAAAAGAAAAAUUAAUUUACGGAGAUAAAAUUAGAAAUAAGAUUUUGAAGUUAAAACAUAUUCAAUUUAAAUAAGAAAAGGAUAUCAGUUCGGGAGUCUAGGGAUUAUGUAUUCCCUUCGCAUCUUUUUCUUGAUUUACUAAGCCAGUUGUAAAAAAUUUAUUCCCACUCAGUAAAAGAAAAUUUUCCAUAAUUGUGACACUGUAAUGGUAAGAAUUGUUGCUACAACUGAUAAUCUUGUCCUGCAGCACUAUCCAGUAAAGUUUCCCGUUUGAUAAGAAACACUGUCCACUAUCAUGUAAGGUGUAAUGCUAUAGCAACUUGUCUCAACUUCUUGGCCCACAAAUGUUUUUUUAAUAAUUAAAGUGCAGUGAAACAUGGAAAGAAAGUAAUUAAUCAAAAUGAGAUAACCAUAAAGAAAAAGAUGCAAAAAUUAAAUUUAAGGAAAAAAAAUCAAAUAACCUCCCUAAUUAUUGGGUUGCCUCCUAAUUAACGCUUGAUUUUAGGUCCUUCAGCCUGACCUUCCCUAAAUACUCAAAUUAGAUCGGUGAGGCUUACAUCAUCUAUUGAGUCAAACGAGACGUCAUCAAUGUAAUGUUUGAUUUGUUGACCAUUUACCAUAAAUUUCUAAUCAAUUUUUUCGUCCUUGAUUUCUACAGUACCGUGAGGAUAAAUGUUGAUAAGUCUAAAAGGUCUGCACUAUCUAGUUUUUAUUUUCCAGGGAAAAGUUUUAAUCUUGAAUUGUAAAGUAAAACUUGUUGGCUCAUAAUUAAAUUUCUUUGCCGAAUGUGCUUGUCGUGCCAUUGUUUUGUUUUUUCUUUGUAAAUCCCUGCAUUUUCAUAAGAGAACAACCUUAAUUUUUCAAGCUCACAAAGUUGGAAUUUUUGAUGCUCUGCUGCAGCAUGCAUGUCAAUGUUUAGUUGUUUUAAUGCCCAAUAUGCUUUGUGCUUUAGCUUUAAUGGAAAAUGGCAGGCUUUGCCAUAAACAAUUCUGUAUGAAGACAUGCCAGUGGUGUCUUGUAUGCUGUAUGGUAGGCCCAUAGUGAGUCAUGUAAUCUGAGUGACCAGUCCUUUCUAGUGGGUUCACUACUUUCUCCAAAAUCCUUUUGAUCUCUCAGUUGUACACUUCUGCUUGAUCAUUAGAUUAUGGGUGACAUGUUGUAGCAAUCUUGUGCUUAAUUCCAUACUUAACCAGUGCUGUAGCAAAUAUCAUAUUGCAAAAAUGAGUGCCUUCACCACUAAUGAUAGCUCUUGAAGUCCCAAACCUUGAGAAAAUAUUCUUUUGAAGGAAUUUCACCACGGCUUUAGCAUAAUUUGUUGGCAAUGCUAUAGCUUUCACCUAUUUGGACACAUAAUCUACAUCAACUGGAAUAUAUAAGUUUCCAAAAGAUGGUAGGAAGAGUCCCAUUAGGUCUAUCCCCCAUACAUUAAAGAGCUCCACAGCCAAAAUGCUUGUUAAUUGCAUUUCAUGCUUUUGAGAUAUGUUCCCUGUUCUUUGACACUUAUCAUUUGACAAACUCAUAAACAUAUUUAAAAAUAAAGGGCCGGUAAUAACUUGAUUAUAAAACUUUGGCAACUGUUCUAUAACCUCCAAAAUGUCCUCCAUAUGCUGCAGCAUGGCACGAAUAUAGUAUGUAUGGAAUUUCUUCAUCAGAUACACAUCUUUUAAUCAUAUGGUCUGAGCACAUCUUGUACAAGUAUGGCUCAUCCCACUGAUAGCUUCUGACAUCUUGGAAACAUAUCUUCUUAUGCUGAUAAUUCAAAUCAGGUGGUAACAGUCCACUCACCAAGUAAUUAACAAAAUCUGCAUACUAUAGGAGUCUAGAUUGCUGCAUCAUCUGUGCAUGCUGUAGUAUUAGUAGUUGGUCAUCAGGGAAUGUUUCUGUGAUGUCCUAUUUGGUCAAGGUGCUUGCAUCUGUUCUAGCCUUGAGAGAUGAUCUGCUACUUGGUUAUUGGUCCAUUUUCCAUCCUUGAUCUCUAAGUCAAACUCUUGUAGCAAGAGGAUCCACCUUAUCAAUAUUGGUUUGACAUCAUUCUUUGUAAUCAAAUACUUUAUUGCCUAAUACUCUUAUAGGCAGAGUUGAUUUUUAUACUGGAUUUUUUACUUCAUUUGGUCUUCUAACUAACUAAGGACUUGUUGUUGAGCCACUGUGGUGUAUUGAAUCAAGAGCAACCAAUCAUGUAACCAAAGAUGCAUGUAUUUUCACAUCUUAUUUUACUUAUCUUAGGACAGAUAAAUUGCAUAUAAGAAGUGGUAUGGGCUUAGAUAUUUAACAUAUUGGUUAUGCUAUGUUAAGUGCACUCUCUACAACAAAUAUUUAUCUUAGCAACAUCUUGCAUGUUCCUGCAAUCUCCAAAAACCUUUUAAGUGUCCUAAAAUUUUUGUUAACAAUAAUGUUCUUAUUGAAUUUCAUAAAACAUUUUGUUUUGUUAAAACCAAGAAAACAAGGACCAUUUUGCUUCAGGGGAUCGCUAAAGGAGAACUAUAUCAAGUUGAAGGUCUAACUGCAGUCUCUAAUGUUGUAGCUUCUAAUAAUAACAGGCCCAAUGUUUUGUUUGUCACCUCAAAAUCUACUUCCAGUUCCAACACUUUCUAGUGUCAAUGCUUAAUCACUUAAGAGUUUCAUAUUUUAUACACUCCUAUGGAAGGUUGACAAAUACAACUAUUAUUUAAUUCAAUAAUGAAGCCUUAAAAGUCUUGUUUGUUUUUUGUUCUAAGUUAGUUAACUAUAAGUUAGUUAACUAUAAUAUUUAUACACUCCUAUGGAAGGUUGACAAAUACAACUAUUAUUUAAUUCAAUAAUGAAGCCUUAAAAGUCUUGUUUGUUUUGCACAAGAUAAUGAGUCAUCCUACAGUUCAUGCUCUUAAACAAAUCACAAAAUAGAUCAAUUCUGAUUUUGAUGUGAAUAAUGAUAUCAAACUAGACUUCUGUAAUGCAUGUCAAUUUGGUAAAUAUCAUAUGCAUCUCUUUUCCUCCACAAAAACUACCACCAUUCAACCUUUAGAGUUUUUACAUGUUGAUUUAUGGGGAUGAGUGUUGAGUGUUAGAAAAUGCAUAUUUAUAAAGGAGAAAACCGUCAUUUUACAUUUCAAGUCUUACUAACAACCCUUACUUUUAUGUAUUUAACCUUCUUGUGAUGUAAUUACGUGUGUGUUAUUUUAAUUAAGUAUUUUAUGUAUUUUAGGGGCAUUAUAGUCAUUUCACAAUAAAGGAGAGAUCAGACGACAAAACGGACAUCACUUUUGAACUCAGGACGGUCGAAAACCUUAGGAGGGGCAUAAAAGGAAAAAUGGCACUAUUCACAUGUACGGUACUAUUCACGUGUACGGUACUGUCUACGUUACUGUUCACGACACUGUUCACGACACUGUUCACAUAGACGGAUCGAUGACGUGGCAUUGACCGAUGAUGUGGCAUUGACUGAUGAGGUGUCACGAUCCUGUUGGACUAAACUUCUUAUGUACUGUUGAUGGUGACGUGGCAGCAUAUCAGUGGACGAAAAAUCUCGCGUACGGUGCAUGCAUCACACAGGAUUAUUUUCAACCAAACUGCGUUACUGUUCAUCCGGGUCAAACCGUGUUACUGUUCAUCCACGUGGUCAAACCGUGGACUGUUGACUGAUGACGUGGCGCAAUCCUGAGCGUCCAAACUGUUUUUAAUCCGAUGGCCAUGAUUUACUCCAUGUAUCUAUAAAAAGGGGGCCUCCCCCCCCUAAUUUGAUAUCUCUGAAUCCAUUUUUGGGAUCCAUUUUCUGUAAUUCCCUCUCCAUCUUGUAUUUUCUUUGUAUUUUAAUAAAUUCCCAGUUUGCCCCUAGUUCAAUUAUGAGUAGCUAAUUUCCUUUCAAGCUUGGGUUGAAGGUGAAGUCUCAACAUGUGUCAUGGGCUUUAUUUGGUAAAUUUAUUUUCUUUUCCCCUCUAGGUUUUGUGGAUGAUUUGACUUAUCGUCGACAAAUAAUACUGAUCUUGUCUAGAUACCGCCUUGGUUACACCGGCUCUCUAGUAUAAGGUUAUUAUUAUUUGGCACGAUAAGCCCUUAGCACCAUAUUGAUUAGAGCGUGGUUCAUGAGGUGUGGAUUCCCCCCUCAUGAUUUAAUUGGCAUUAAUACGGAUUAUUUAGCCCAUGAUGCAUGUUGAUACGGAUCCAGAUACCCAAGUACGUUAUUUCAAUAGAUUUCUCUUCAAUUUACUCUCGCCAUUGCAAUUCCAGUCUUAGAAUUUAUUAUCGCCAUUUCAAUUCCAAUUUUAGGAUAAUUUAAAUCACUUCCACCACAAUUCCAACAACCCAUUUUGCAAAAUUAAUUCUAUACACAGUUAAAAUCCACCUCCUCGUGGGAUCGACACUCGUCACCAUUGAUCUACACUAUAAUAGAUUCGUGCGCUUGCGAGUUCAUUAAAAUUUGCACAACAAGUUUUUGGCGCCGUUGCCGGGGAGGUAAGUAAUUUUAAUUCAUAGAAUUAAUUUUUGUGAAUAAUUUAUUUUAAAUUGUUUUCUUGUAUUUUUUAUUAAAAAAAGAAAAAAAAAAGUGAAUCUGCAUUUAAAGGUUAGUAUUUCUUUUCUUUUUCUCUUCUUUAAAAUUUUGUAAUUUAAUUUUUAAUUUAUUUUUCUUUGUAAUUUUUGUUUAUCUUAUUAAUUUAAUUUUUAGUUAAUUUAUUUCACGUAUUUAUUUUUGUGUAUUUUUAUAGUAAGGUUGUAAUAGCGCAAUAAGGUUAGUAUCGUAAUUUCUCCCUCUUAUUUAUUUUUAUUUGUUUUGUUCCCAUCUUUAUUUUUAUUUUUAUUUUGCAUGCAUGGUCGUAGGUCAUUAUUACCUAAUCUUGAACCUAUAGACCUUGAAUUAGUAAAAACACUUCGCACACACAAACACGUUAAAAAUAAAAUGGAUUUACAAGCACCACAGGAGAGGCCAUUUAAGGACUAUUUUAGUCCCUUAGCUAAUUUGAGCACAUCAUGUAUAAGAUACCCAAAUGUAGCUGCUAGGAGCUUUGAACUAAAACCUAGUGUGCUAAAUUGUCUCCCCACAUUCUAUGGCCUAGAAAAUGAGGACCCAUAUAAUCAUCUGAAUGAUUUUCAUGCCAUUUGUCAAACUUUUAAAUAUGAAAAUUUUUCAGACGAUGAUGUUAAACUUAGAUUAUUCCCAUUUUCUUUAAAGGAUAGAGCUCGUUCAUGGUUAAAUACUUUGCCUGCUAAUAGCAUUGCAUCAUGGGAACAAAUGGUUACAAAAUUUCUAAAUAAAUAUUUCCCAGUGCAUAAAACCAAUUCUAUUCGCAGGGAAAUUUCAGAGUUUACACAAAGAGAGGACGAGCAGUUUUUCGAAACAUGGGAGCGAUUCAAUGGGCUACUCUUGAAGUGUCCACAUCAUGGGUACGAGAAAUGGCACCAAUGCCAAUACUUUUUGGAGGGAUUAUUGCCGAAUGUGCAAGAAUGGCUAAUGGCAACAAGUGGAGGAGAGCUAAUGUCAAAAAGUGCAUCAGAGAUUUGGGAAUUCUUCCAGCGACAAGCGGAUAAUUCCCAACAACGGAGUCGAUCACUCAGGAAUACUAGAAGGAUUAAAGGAGUGAAUGAGGUUCACAUUGGCGAGUCAACUUCGGGAAUCAAAGAAGUCAAGGAGAUGGUUGAAGGUCUUGCUCGACAAAUAGCAUCGUUGUCGACUGCUAAAUCAACAGAACCACAUGACCAUGACUCAUACUCCGAUCAAGCCAAUGCCAUAGGUGUAAUGAGAAAGCCAUCUAAUUACAACCCAUACUCCAACACAUAUAACCCUGGAUGGAGAGAUCACCCCAAUUUUUCAUGGUCUCAAGGAUUCCAACAGAAUGGACCAACAGCUCCAGCUCCACCACUGCAACAAAUUCCUCAAAAUCCUCAAGCCUCUCAGCCACCAUUCAGACCAUACAAUCAGAACCAGAACUACUCUCAACCCAGACCAUGGGAGGAUGCAUUCCAGAAUUUCAAGAAUGUUACUCACUCCACGAUUGAGCAACAGAAUCGCACCAUUGAUGGACUACGAAAUGAGUUGAGAGCGGGCUUCAACUCACAAGCUCAAUCAGUUUCAAGCCUCGAGAAGAUGGUGGGACAACUUGCUUCUUCAGUUCAGACCUUGGCAAUGACUGUUGAGAAAGGAAAAUUUCCAAGUCAACCAGUGCCUAAUCCUAAAGGAGUACAUGAAGCAAGUACCAGUUCACCACAACAGCAUGGAGAGGUCAAAGCAAUCAUGACCUUGCGAAAAGGAAAAGAAGUCGACAAUAAAGUGGAGAUGCCGGUGACAAAAGAAAAUCAAAUUGUACCUGUAAAUGCUGAGGACUCACCACCGGAGGAAAAAGAAGAAACCAACCCACGAGAAUACGUUCCCAAAGCUCCAUUUCCUCAGAGGUUAGUGAAAGGAAAGAAGGGAAAAUCCACAGGUGAGAUUCUCGAAAUCUUCAAACAGGUAAGUGUUAACAUCCCUUUACUUGAUGCUAUAAAGCAAGUUCCAUCUUAUGCCAAGUUUCUUAAAGACCUUUGUACUAAAAAGAGAAAUAUGCAUGUUCAAAAGAAGGCAUUUUUAACAGAAAACGUUAGUUCUAUACUCCAACAUAAAAUUCCUUUAAAAUGCAAAGACCCAGGCUCCCCCACUAUCUCAUGUAGCAUAGGGAACCACACAAUUGAGAAUGCUUUGUUGGAUUUAGGAGCUAGUGUAAAUCUGUUGCCUUAUUCAGUAUUCGUGAAACUUGGACUGGGAGAAUUACACCCAACUCCAGUGGUGUUACAGCUUGCAGAUCGGUCCACGAAAAUACCUCGUGGUAUUGUGGAGGACGUGCUUAUCCAGGUAGACAAGUUUUAUUUUCCUGUUGAUUUCAUUGUAAUUGACACUCAACCAAUACAGGAUUCAAGGAAGCACAUCCCCAUUAUUCUAGGCCAACCUUUCUUGGCGACUGCGGAUGCUCACAUUCAAUGCAGGACCGGAAAUAUGCAAUUGUCCUUCGGCAACAUGACUAUGGAGCUAAAUAUUUUCAACAUUGCCAAACAACCUCACAGUGCAGAUGAUGGAAUUGUUGAUGUGGAUUUAAUAGAAACAAUAGUCGAUAAUACUUUUAUUUCAAACCUUAGUGAUGAUCCUUUACAAACAUGUUUAACUCACUUUGGUUUGGAUUUUGAUAUUGACAGAUCGGUCGAUGAGGUCAACGCCCUACUUGACUCAGCACCAUCCAUGGACACUAAUAAAUGGAAGUCAAGAGUUGAACAACUAGCACCAUCAGAGAAGAAACUCAUCCCAUCAUCAGAAUCACCACCGAAACUCGAGCUCAAACCAUUACCCAACACUCUGGAAUAUGCAUUUUUGGGAGAAGAAAGUACUCUGCCGGUAAUCAUCUCAUCAUCCCUAAAUGACGAACAAAAAGGUAAGUUGUUGGAUGUUUUAAAAGAGCACAAAGGGGCAUUAGGAUGGACCAUAGCAGACAUAAAAGGUAUAAACCCAGUAGACUGCAUGCAUUACAUUCACCUUGAUGAAAAUGCUAAAUCUACUAGGGAAAUGCAACGUCGGUUAAAUCCUAAUAUGAAAGAAGUUGUUAGAACAGAAGUCCUUAAGCUAUUAGACGUAGGUAUCAUUUACCCAAUUUCUGAUAGUUCAUGGGUCAGUCCUGUACAAGUCGUCCCCAAAAAGUCAGGAGUCACAGUAGUUACCAAUGCUGAUAAUGAAUUGAUACCAACUAGAGUAACUACAGGAUGGCGUGUAUGCAUUGAUUAUAGAAAGUUGAAUUCUGUCACACGUAAAGACCAUUUUCCUUUACCAUUUAUCGAUCAAAUGCUUGAUAGAUUAGCAGGCCACGAAUUUUAUUGCUUUCUAGAUGGCUACUCAGGAUAUAAUCAGAUUCCCAUAGCACCAAAAGAUCAGGAGAAAACUACUUUCACUUGCCCUUUUGGCACUUUUGCAUAUAGGAGAAUGCCAUUUGGAUUAUGUAAUGCACCUGCUACAUUCCAACGAUGUAUGUUGAGCAUUUUUUCUGAUAUGGUUGAACGAUUCCUUGAAGUCUUUAUGGAUGAUUUUUCUGUCUUUGGUGACUCGUUUGAUCAAUGUUUACAUCAUCUAACGCUAGUUCUGCAGAGAUGUACCGAGAAGAACUUAGUCUUGAAUUGGGAGAAGUGCCAUUUUAUGGUAAAACAAGGUAUUGUUCUCGGUCACAUCAUUUCAAGCAAAGGUAUUGAGGUUGACAAAGCCAAGGUGGAUCUCAUUUCUAAUCUUCCUCCACCUAAAACAGUCAGAGAAGUAAGAUCUUUCCUUGGACAUGCUGGUUUUUAUAGACGUUUCAUUAAAGAUUUUAGCAAAGUUUCUAGACCCUUAUGCAAUUUACUUGCUAAGGAUGUACCUUUUAUCUUUAAUGAUUCAUGUCUUAUGGCUUUUGAAAAAUUAAAGCAAUUGUUGACAUCAUCACCCAUCAUUCAGGCCCCAAACUGGAACUUACCAUUUGAGCUCAUGUGUGAUGCAUCUGAUUAUGCAGUAGGAGCAGUAUUAGGACAAAGAGUUGAUCGAAUUCCCCACGUUAUUUACUAUGCUAGUAUGACAUUGAAUGAUGCACAGUUGAAUUAUUCAACUACUGAAAAAGAAAUGCUAGCAGUAGUGUUUGCAUUAGAGAAAUUUCGAUCUUAUCUCAUUGGUUGUAAAAUAAUUAUAUUCACAGAUCAUGCUGCUCUUAAAUAUCUUCUCACAAAGAAAGAUGCAAAAGCUAGACUAAUUCGUUGGGUGUUACUUUUGCAGGAAUUUGACUUGGAAUUCAAAGAUAAGAAAGGGACAGAAAAUGUUGUGGCGGACCACCUCUCUCGUCUCCAUUUUGACACAAUUACAGAGCCAUUAAUAUUAAAUGAGUCAUUUCCAGAUGAACAAUUAAUGAGUGUGGAAGUAUUACCUUGGUAUGCUGAUAUAGUUAAUUAUCUUGUUACAGGUAAAUUUCCAGAGCAUUGGACCAAGCAAGACAAGGCUAAAUUCUUUGCGGAAAUAAAGAAUUUCUUUUGGGAUGACCCAUAUUUGUUCAAGUAUUGUGCAGACCAAAUUGUUAGACGAUGUGUCCCUGAAAGUGAAAUUCAGAAUAUCCUUUCAUUCUGCCAUGAACAAGCUUGUGGAGGCCAUUUCAGUGCUAAGAAAACAGCGACUAAAGUUUUACAAUGUGGUUUCUAUUGGCCAACUAUAUUUCGAGAUGCUUACACUUUCUGUUCUUCAUGUGAUAGGUGUCAACGAAUGGGGAGCAUUACACGAAGGAACAUGAUGCCACUAAAUCCAAUUUUAGUGGUUGAGAUUUUUGACGUAUGGGGUAUUGACUUCAUAGGACCCUUUCCCCCUUCUUUUGGCCAUCAAUACAUAUUGGUUGGUGUUGACUACGUCUCAAAAUGGGUAGAAGCAAUUCCAUGUAGAACCAAUGAUCACAAAGUGGUGAUAGGAUUUUUGAAAAGCAACAUUGUCUCGCGCUUUGGAUUCCCUCGAGCGAUAAUUAGUGAUGGUGGUGCCCACUUUUGUAACAAAGCAUUCAAAGCUCUUUUGACAAAGUAUUCAAUCACACACAAAGUGGCAACCCCGUAUCAUCCGCAAACCAGUGGCUAAGUUGAGAUCUCCAAUCGAGAAAUCAAGCACAUAUUAGAAAAAACGGUGAGGCCAGACAGAAAAGAUUGGUCAUUAAGACUUGAUGAUGCAUUAUGGGCAUAUAGAACGGCUUUCAAGACCCCGAUUGGGAUGUCACCCUACAGGCUAGUGUAUGGAAAAGCUUGCCACCUACCUGUGGAACUCGAGCAUCGUGCAUAUUGGGCCAUCAAGAAAUUCAACUUUGACAUGCAGCAAGCCAGCUCAGAAAGAAGAUUACAGCUGACAGAACUUGAAGAAAUUCGCAAUGAUGCAUACGAAAAUGCCAAGAUUUACAAGCAACGAAUGAAAGUCUUCCAUGAUAAGCACAUUAUGAGAAAAUCGUUCACUCCAGGUCAGAAAGUGCUUUUAUUCAAUUCUCGCUUGCACAUAUUCCCAGGUAAGUUACGCUCUCGAUGGUCUGGUCCCUUUAUUGUUCAUACUGUUUUUCCACAUGGGGCAAUUGAAAUUAAGGACCCAAAGAAUGGUGUCACGUUUAAAGUUAAUGGUCAAAGAUUAAAGCCAUAUCUAGAAUACCAACCACAUGGAGAAGACACCGAAAUAAAUUUGAGUGACCCACCAAAUUUGAAUUGAUUUUUUUUUUCUUCUUUUCGUUGAUUUGAUUUUUCUUUAUUUCUUUUUAUUAUUAUUCUUUUGCUAAUUGAAAUUGUUUUUGCAUAAGUGUGUUUAUUUUACCAUUAAGUUUUCUCUUAUCAUUUUUAAUCAUGAGUACCUUGCUUAGACCGUUCCUCCUGAACAUUCUUAAACCACUUCAACGUGUCAAAACUCAUCUCAAAAAGCAGAUUCUAUUUUGUAAAACACAUCGCAUUUGGGCUCUACAACCACCAGAGUUAGUAGCCUAUGUUGAGGGUUUAGAACGCCAACUCAGAGACAUUGAGAGAAGUGUUUACGACAUCCAGUUGGAGCUUGAGGUAAAUUCAAUAAGAGGACGAUUUUAAUUUUCUUUGUGUGUUUUAAUUUGUUUUUCUGUUUGUGUGCUUUAGUUUGUUACCCCGGUGAAGUGGCGGAUAACGGUACUCCGUGACAAUCAAGUCGGUUACUUCAGUUUCCCAUAAUAACUGACAUUCUGAGGCGAAAGUAUGGACAGAAACGAGAUUCUAGCGAAGCUUCACAAGCGAUUCCCUUCACUUCCUCAGAAUGCCCUCUUUACGAUCUAUAAAGCUCGGUCCGAACGCAUGCGAUUACUCAUGAAGAAUAACAUACCUGCUGACAUCCGUUGGUUAAUCGAGGCUAAAGUACGAUCGGCAGGUGAGUUACCUCCAAGAUUUAUUGCAUUCAUGCCUGGUUGUGGUAAAGGAAAUUAUGCAAGAAAACGACGAGCUCGAAGAAUUUCUGUUGCUUGUCAUAAGUGUGCCAGAAUGAGUUGCGAUAGAAACCCAUGUUCUUUAGGAAUAGUGUCUGAUAACAGGGAAGAUAAGAUUCAAUUCAUUAGGGAUGGCUUGAAUAAGGAGUCAUUGGAUGAUAUCCUUUUGUCUCUUGAAACGCAUCCCAGUGGAUAUGUGCAAGGAGCGAUUCUCCGGUUAUGGCCAUUAUUCCAGAAAGAGCAUGCACGAUAUAGUCUCGGGAAUCUGACUAUAAACGACCCUGUUUGUCAGUUUAUAAGAAAACUGGAUGGGAAGCCGAUCCUCGACCCAUAGAGGGCGUUCAAGCCGUUUCUGGACGUAAAACCAGAGGAAGAUGUGAGCCACAGUCGCAACUAUGUGUACAUAUCCUUUUACUUUACUGUUAUUUUAUUUCAUUUCACUGUUGUUUUAUUGUUUGCAUUAUUGUCUUUAAUAAUUUUAUUACUGUUUGCUUUUUCCUUUUUACUGUUUCCUUUUUGACUCGCGAGCCAUGUGCUUCACGCGUUAUUUGACACUGACAUGUUACCUCAUUCACAACUGUGACCCACUAUCACCAAGACUCUUAAAUGUGAUUUCUUUUGUCAAAUACUCACAAAUUAUUUUUGAGAAAUAUUCCAAUGGCAGCUACUCCCAAUAGACAAUUCAAGAACAUUUGUGUGCUUUCUGGAUUUACCUAUGGCAAACAUAAAGAGUUCGUGGAGGCAGCCAUAGAUCUUGGUCGAAGCAUAGCAGCGAGAAAAUUACACUUGGUGUAUGGAGGAGGUAACCGAGGGUUAUCAAAAAUGGUCUCAGAAGCAGCUUUUAUCAGAGGAAGUCAAGUGUUAGGCAUCAUCCCAAGAGUCCUAAAACCAUUGGGCAGUUCGUCUGACUCAUCCACUGGAGAAGAGUUAGUCGUCUCAGGUAUGCAAGAAAGAAUAACUGAAAUGCUUAAUCAUGCUGAUGCUUUUAUUUUCCUUCCAGGAGAUCUUGCAACACUAGAGGCACUUAUGACACUAGCAUCUUGGGCCCAUCUGCACAUCCACCAGAAACCUAUCGGUUUGUUAAAUGUCAAUAACUUUUAUGAUGGCUUUAUCGCAUUUCUUAACCAUGCAAUAAAAAACUAUUUCAUUCCUUCUAAUGUGAAAAAACUCUUUAUUUGUGCUCACACUGCUAAUGAGCUACUUGAUAUGUUACAAGCUUAUAAACCGGAGCCAGACCCCUGGACCUUUGUGUUGGAGCGACCAAAUAAUGAUAGUAACAGUAGCCGCAGUAAGAAGUACAAAUUAGAUUUAACUCUCCGCCUGUAAAUAUUUUCUUCUGUGUUGCACCACCCAGGUGAUGUCUUCUAAACUCUACUUCUUUCCUUUAAAACAUUGAGGACAAUGUUUCGUUCUGGUUGGGGGGAGGGAAUAGUCGACAAUUGUGGAAUCUUGGUUAAGUUUUUACUGAUUUUUUGUUGUAGAAACUAACUGUUGCUAACAUUUUAUGUUGAAGAUGGCUGAAUAUGGAGUGUAGUUACUCUAGAAACGCAUCUUCAUCGUUUAAAAAAAAAAAAAAAAAAAACCGUUUUCUUCCUCUUUCUCCUUUAUAAAUAUAUAUUUUCAAAUUUUUGAGUCGAAGAUGGCUGAAUAUGGAGUGUAGUGCCUCUAGAAACGCAUCUUCUUAGUUAAAAAAAAAAAAAAAUUCUUUUUCUAAUUAAUUUUUUCUACAUCAUUUUCACAUUUCUGCAUGCAUAUUUUCCUUUCAUGUUUAGAAUAGGUUGGGGGUAGAAUGUUGUUUAAAAAAAAAAAAAAAUUGUGUUAUUUGUUUUAACAUUGGAUGACAUGAUUAAUUUCAAAUUUUAGUAUUUGUAUUAUCUUUGGUCUUAAGUGAUGUUACGCUAUGUUUGCUACUUUACAUGUUGAUGUCGGAGACAAAUAUGAGUUGCUUGAAGGAAUGAACAUGUCAUAAAUAAGUGCCAAGUGAGUUGUUGCGCCUAUCAUUUUCUUGGAGAGUAACCCUUUUGCCCAUUCUCUAUACAGCUUAGCAGUUUAUUAUUUUAUACACGAUCUCUAGAUUUCUUUUAAGUUAACCCUUUAAAAAAAAUAUAUGGUAAAAUUAAAAAAAAGAAAAAAGAAAAAAAUGUGUGUUGCUACAUUGGGAGGCCCAUCUAACUAGUAGAUAUGGAUAAUUAUUUAGAGCCCUAAAAGACGAUGGAAAGGCCAUCUUUGAUCCGUUUGAGCCUUUCUAGCCAUCCCUUUUAUUAAAUAUCCAUAGUUACCCCUUUUGAGCCUUUAAAAAAAAAAAAAAAGAACAAAAACCUUUUCUUUGUCAACUUAUCAUCUUGACCCACUCCGAUUUGGAGUAUUACCCAAUGUCUUUUAAGUUCCAUCACCUAUUUAUGUUUGAGAAAAUGUAAAUAAUUAUGUUGUUCAGUGAAGUUAUGCCAAAUAAAAGCAAAAAGAAAAAAGAAAAAACAAAAACAAAAGUUGUUGUUUUAAAAGAAUAAAAAUAACAAUAAUAGGUGAAAUCCACCUUGCAAGUUCCAAAAAAAAAAAAAAAAAUUCUGCAUUUUUCUCAAACAUACACUUUGUUUUCCUUAUUUCCUUUCUUUGUUAGCCAUAUCCCUAGCCUACGUUACGUCCUAAUAAAAGUCCUUCUUGAUUUUAGGGAACUAUAGUUUGAAGUAGAAGCUAGUUAUAUGGGCUAAAAAGAUGUAGUGAUGCAUAAUAAAAAAAAAGAUAAAUAAAGUGGGUUGACUAACAUUUUAUUUGACUUGAGAUCGUAUUAUUUCUAAGCUGAGGGCAUAUUUAUUUCAUCUUGGUGAGAGCAUGUGAUAUCAUUUCUUUAUUAUUUUCUCUCUCAAUUACCAUUCAUUGGAGUGACUAUGUUUAUUGGGUUUUAAUUUCUUUGUGAGAGUGUCACUACUUCCAGUGAGAUUUUGGGGUUUGACAUGUCAUUCUUGAAAGUAGCUAUAACAAAGUCUACUGGGCUAAUUCAUGUGGAUGGUUGAUGUGGGUGUGAUGUUGCUUUAGACUGAAGAUAAUGCUUAUACUUUUAUUUGAUUGCUAUCAUUAAUCUGAUUGAAUAAACACGAGUGUUUCCAAAAAAAAAAAAAAAAAAAAAUCAUUUUGAAUUUGAAUUUUGUUUUCGCAUUAUUUGCUAGGGACUAGCAAUAAGCUGGUUGGGGGGUGUGUUGAGUGUUAGAAAAUGCAUAUUUAUAAAGGAGAAAACCGUCAUUUUACAUUUCAAGUCUUACUAACAACCCUUACUUUUAUGUAUUUAACCUUCUUGUGAUGUAAUUACGUGUGUGUUAUUUUAAUUAAGUAUUUUAUGUAUUUUAGGGGCAUUAUAGUCAUUUCACAAUAAAGGAGAGAUCAGACGACAAAACGGACAUCACUUUUGAACUCAGGACGGUCGAAAACCUUAGGAGGGGCAUAAAAGGAAAAAUGGCACUAUUCACAUGUACGGUACUAUUCACGUGUACGGUACUGUCUACGUUACUGUUCACGACACUGUUCACAUAGACGGAUCGAUGACGUGGCAUUGACCGAUGAUGUGGCAUUGACUGAUGAGGUGUCACGAUCCUGUUGGACUAAACUUCUUAUGUACUGUUGAUGGUGACGUGGCAGCAUAUCAGUGGACGAAAAAUCUCGCGUACGGUGCAUGCAUCACACAGGAUUAUUUUCAACCAAACCGCGUUACUGUUCAUCCGGGUCAAACCGUGUUACUGUUCAUCCGCGUGGUCAAACCGUGGACUGUUGACUGAUGACGUGGCGCAAUCCUGAGCGUCCAAACUGUUUUUAAUCCGAUGGCCAUGAUUUACUCCAUGUAUCUAUAAAAAGGGGGCCUCCCCCCCUAAUUUGAUAUCUCUGAAUCCAUUUUUGGGAUCCAUUUUCUGUAAUUCCCUCUCCAUCUUGUAUUUUCUUUGUAUUUUAAUAAAUUCCCAGUUUGCCCCUAGUUCAAUUAUGAGUAGCUAAUUUCCUUUCAAGCUUGGGUUGAAGGUGAAGUCUCAACAUGUGUCAUGAGCUUUAUUUGGUAAAUUUAUUUUCUUUUCCCCUCUAGUUUUUGUGGAUGAUUUGACUUAUCGUCGACAAAUAAUACUGAUCUUGUCUAGAUACCGCCUUGGUUACACCGGCUCUCUAGUAUAAGGUUAUUAUUAUUUGGCACGAUAAGCCCUUAGCACCAUAUUGAUUAGAGCGUGGUUCAUGAGGUGUGGAUUCCCCCCUCAUGAUUUAAUUGGCAUUAAUACGGAUUAUUUAGCCCAUGAUGCAUGUUGAUACGGAUCCAGAUACCCAAGUACGUUAUUUCAAUAGAUUUCUCUUCAAUUUACUCUCGCCAUUGCAAUUCCAGUCUUAGAAUUUAUUAUCACCAUUUCAAUUCCAGUUUUAGGAUAAUUUAAAUCACUUCCACCACAAUUCCAACAACCCAUUUUGCAAAAUUAAUUCUAUACACAGUUAAAAUCCACCUCCUCGUGGGAUCGACACUCGUCACCAUUGAUCUACACUACAAUAGAUUCGUGCGCUUGCGAGUUCAUUAAAAUUUGCACAACAAUGAGCUCCACUCUUAUCUUCUCUAGACUAUCAAUAUUACCUAUUUACCGUAGAUGACUUCACUAGAUUCACUUGGAUAUGUCCUCCUACUGUUAAAUCCAAAGCUUUAUAAUCUUUUGCUAAAUUUCAACACAUGAUAGAGAACAAUCUUAAUACUAAGAUCAAAUAUCUUCAAAUAUAUUGGAGAGGAGAGUUUAGAUCAUUUACAUGUGAUCUUAUUGAAUAAUGAAUACAAUCUAGGCAUCUUUGCAUUCACCAUCAAAAUAAAAUUUUGGAGUCAGUACUUACACUUGUAGUAUAACCACACUUAUCAUUAAAAUUUUGGUGGCAUACUUUUCAUACUACCACUUAUCUCAUUAAUAAACUUCCUACCCCUGUUUUAGGUAACAAAUCAACUAUUAUGUAGAAAGAAACCUAAUUAUUCUGUCAUGAAAUUGUUUAGAUGUGCUUGUUUUCCUUAUUUCAAAGCAUACAGUCAUAAUAAAACUUGAGUUCAGAAUAAGUAGAUUAUAUUUCUUGGUUAAAAUUCACUUCAUAAAGGUUAUUUGUGUCUUCAUUCUUGAAGAAGAAUCUAUAUUAGUAAUCAUGUUGUCUUUGAUGAUCCUUGCUUUCCUUUUGAAUCCAGAGUUGAUUUUUUUUUUUUUUAGUUGAUGCCUCUUGUCUCUCUUCAUGUUCAAAAUGUCACUUAUUAGGAAAAUUUUAUUGAACUCGCAUGUGCACGAAUCUAUUGUAGAAUAGAUCGAUGGUGACAAGUGUCGAUCCCACGAUGAGGUGAAUUUUAAUUGUGUGUGGAAAUAAUUUUCUAAGUAGGUAGUUGGAUUUGUGGUGGAAGUGAUUUAGAUCAUCCUAAAAUUUAAAUGAAAAUGGUGGGAAUCAAUUAAAGUGAAAACUAUUAAAAUAAAGUGCUUUGGUCUCUGGAUCUGCACUCAACAUGCACCAUUGGUUUAAUAUUCCUUAUUAGUGUCAAUUAAAUCAUGAGGGGAGUUUCCACUCCUCAUGAACCACACUCUAAUAAAUAUGGUGCUAAGGGCUUAUCGUGUCAAAUAAUAAUAGCCUUGUACUAUGGAAACGGUUAACCAGUGCAAUAUUUAGGCAAGAUUAUUACUAUUUGUCGACGAAAAAUCAAAAUAUCCACAUAAUUCAGAGGGGAAGAGAAAGUAAAUUUACCAAAUUAAGCCCAUAAAACAUGUUGAGGCUUCACCUUUAACCCAAGCUUGAAAGAAAAUUAACUACUCAUAAUUGAACUAGGGGUAAAAUAGAAAUUUAUUAAAAUACGUAGAAAAUACAAGAUAGAGAAGGAAUUACAGAAAAUAGAGCUCAAAAAUGGAUUCAGGGGUCUCAAAUUAGGGGGGAGCCCCUUAUUUAUAGAUACAAUCAGUAAAUCAUGGCUAUUGAAUUAAAACAAUUUGGACGCUAAGGAUUGCGACACUUGGCAAGUUCUGAUUGGAUGGAACACGUCAUCAAGGUUGUCAUUCCCUGUAUAUGCAUGUAUCAUACGCGCGUUUUUCGAUCCAUUAACAUACUACCACGUCACUAGUCAACUCUUUAGUCCAAUAAGAUCGUGACACAUCAUCGGUCAACGCCAAGUCAUUAAUCAACGCCACAUAAGCAGUCAAUGCCACAUCAUUCAUCCAAUAGAAUGCCACCACGUCAUUGGUUAGUGCCACAUCAUUAGUCAAUGCCACAUUAUCGUACUGUAUAUGUGAACAGUGUCGUGAACAGUACCGUACAUGUGAACAAUGUCGUUUAUCCUUUUAUGCUUUUUUUAAGGUUUUCGACUGUCCUGAGUUCAGAAUUGUUAUCCAUUUUGCUAUCUGAUCUCUCGUUCAUUGUGAAAUGACCAUGAUGCCUCUAAAAUACAUAAAAUAUUUAAUUAUAAUAAAACACACAUAAUUAAAUCACAAGGGACUUAAAUACAUAAAAGUAAGGAAGUUAGUGAGACUUUGAGUGUAAAAUGACGAUUUUCUCUUUUAUAAAUAUACACUUUCUAGCACUCAACAACACUCUCAUUCUUUAUUUCCAAAUGAAUCUUCUUCUUCUCCUAAAAUUCAACUGAUGUGUACAAAUCUCAAUCUUCAAUAACAAAUGUCCUCCACUUUCUCUUAUACCUCCACAAUAGUCCAUCCACUCACUUUUACCUUCACUUUUGCUUGUUGUCUCUCUAUAUAUAGAAUAAACAUCUUCACCAGUUCAUUAAUUAACUCAUCCACAAUCACUAUCUAUCUGUUAGCCUAAAGGGCUACUCAUAAUGUAAUUUUUAUGAUAACAAACAUAUGUAUUAAGUGAUUAAAUAGAUAUUGUAUUUCACAUUUUCACUAGUUUUUGAAGGGUAAUAUUUAUGCAAGUGAAUCAAGUGAAAUCAAGGUCAAGACACUCAACGGACAAACGGCGAAACCAAGAAUAAAGUUUAGAGCUCAACGAAUAAAUUAGUGCGAUAAAUUCUUGUAAAGCCGGUAUGAUUUAAUUGAUGCAUGAUUUAGCAUUUGAGAAGCUCAAGAGAUUAAUUUAAUUAAAUACUUUUCAUAAACUAAAAUGUUUUAUUUUUAUAAAGUAAAGUAUUUUGUGGAUUUAAGUAAUUUGGACUUAAAUGCUAAGAUUUGAAAUCUUUGAUUUUAAUAAGUAUUAAAUUUCGGAGUUGUAAGUUUUUAUAAACAUUUGAAAUGUUUUGGGCCACACUAUAAUUUAUGAAUAUUUUGGACUAAAGUGAAAGGUUUUGAGAACUUUGAAAAAUAUGGGUAAAAUGACCUUUGUGCGACAUAAUAAAAUCUUUGGGGCCAUAUCAUAAUUUCAGUAAGUUUGGGGAAGACAACUAUUCUUAUGAAGUUUUGAAAUUGGACCUAUUUGCAAAGUUUUAUGACGUUUUGGGCCAUAGUAUAAUUAUAGAAAUAUCACUGUUCCUGAGCGGCUAGCCGGAUAAUCAAGCGGCUAACCGCUUGGGCGCGGGAAUUUACCUAUAACGACUAGUUUUUGGGCUUUCACUAUAAAAACUCAACUUAAACUUCAUUGUAAGAACCAAUGCAAGCAAAUAUAAGAUCAUACAACAUAUAUUGAGCUUCCAAAACGCAAAUCAUCAUAGAUUGAAUCAUUGUGAGCUAUUAUUUGCAUAUCCACUCUUAAAGAGAGUUUUUGUUGUAAUUUUCAUUUCUUAUCAAAUUAUGAGUGUAUGAGUGUGAGAAACACUUAGGGUAAAGAGAUUGGGGAGAUAAUCUCUUGAUUGUAAAGGUUCAUUGACACUUUGUAAGUCAAUUGUAAGAACUUGAAGCCUUGGGAGGCUUGGAUAGUGAAAUCCUCGAGCUUGGUUGGCUUGGAGGCGUGGACGUAGGCGGGGAUUGCCGAACCACGUAAAAAUCUGUGUGUUUGUUUUUCUCUUCCCUUACUCUUUUAUUUUUACGCUUGUUUGAAUUUAUUGUUUUCUAUUUCAUUAAGGCGUUAGAUUAAUUUGUUGAGCGAAUUGUAUUGCAUAAUUUUUAAAAUCCCAAUUCACCCCCCCUCUUGAGUUGCGUUACUUGUAUUUCAUUUGGUAUCAGAGCUUGGUUCUCUUGUUAGGACUUAACCGUCUAGAGUAAAAGAUCCAUGGCAACCCAAAAUGAUUCAACCUUUAGGGAAGGACAAUCCACAACUAGGCCACCAUUCUUUGAUGGAAAUGACUACCCGUAUUGGAAAACUAGGAUGAAAAUUUAUUUACAAGCACUAGAUUAUGAAAUUUGGGAAGUUGUAUGUGAUGAUCCAUUUAUGCCUUUGACUAAAAAUGAAUUCGGGGAAGACAUUCCAAAACCUUCACGGGAAUGGAAUGAAUUGGAAAAGAGAAAAGCUUCUCUAAAUUCCAAAGCCAUGAAUGCUUUGUUUUGUGCACUCGAUAAGAAAGAGUUUCAUAGAGUGUCUAGUUGUGAAAGUGCUAAUGAAAUUUGGCACAAACUUGAAGUUGUUUAUGAAGGCACGAAUCAAGUGAAAGAGUCUAAAAUUAGUAGGUACACUCGGCAAUAUGAAUUGUUCCAAAUGGAAUAAAAUGAGAGUGUGUAUUCUAUGUAUACUAGAUUCACGGACAUAGUAAACACUCUAGGAGCCCUAGGAAAGACCUUUUCAAAUAGCGAGAAAGUUAAGAAAAUCAUUAGGUCAUUACCUAAGGAAUGGAGACCAAAAAGGACUGCCAAUGAGGAAGCUAAAGAUUUGAAUAUCUUACCUAUUGAUGAUUUAAUUGGUUCUCUUAUUUCUUAUGAGGAAGAUUUGGCAGCCGAAAGAGGACAUAAGGAAAAGAAGAAAAUCAUUACACUCAAAGCCAUAAAAUAUGAGAGUGAUGGAGAAAGUGAGCCGGAUGAUGAGGAGUUGGCUAUGCUAGCAAGGAGGUUCAGAAAAUUUUUCAAGAAAACCGGUGACCAAAGAAAAUUUAGAAACUUCAAAAACCAAAAGGAGAAGAAAGAGGUAAUCAUAUGCUAUGAAUGCAAAAAGCCCGGCCAUAUAAGAUCGGAAUGCCCACUUCUCAACAAACUCAAGAAGAAAGCUAUGGUUGCUACUUGGGAUGAUAGCGAUGAAGAAGAAUCGCAAGAAGUAUCAAACCUAGCACUUAUGGCAAUAGGAGAUGAUGAUGAUCUCAAUGAGGUAAGUGAUCCAACCUAUGAUGAAUUAUAUGAUGCUUUUAAAGAAAUACAUGAUGAGUUAAUGAAAAUUGGUAAAAAGAAUACAUGCCUUAAAAAGAAAUUGCUAGAAUUUACAAAUGAAAAGGAUGCCAUGCAAAAAUGCAAUGAGUCAUUGAAUGAGAAGAUUAAAGGAUUAGAAUUAGAGAAUAAAACCUUGUAUAAUAGAGUUGCAUUAUCAAAUGAAAAACCUAACACUUCACAUGAGCAUUUAGAGUCACAUGUAGAUGAUUUGAAAAAGGAAAAUGAAAUGCUCAAGAAAAAUAAUAUUGAACUUAGUAAUGUUGUUCUAAAAUUUACAAAUGGGUAAAAGAUGUUGGAUAACAUGCUUAACUCUCAAAAAUGUGUUUUUGAUAAAGGAGGACUUGGGUAUAAGCCUAACUUGAAGUAUUAUAAGAAUUAUUUUGUUAAAGCUACCUCCACAAGUGAUCAUAAGAUUGUUUGUCAUUAUUGUAAUCAAAAUGGUCACAUGAAAUAUAGAUGUCCCGUGAAAAGGAAUGCAUAUUAUGGUGUCAAAUGUAUUUGGGUUCCAAAAGGAACCGUUGCUAACGCUCAAGGACCCAAAAACGUUUGGGUACCUAAGACAUAAGAUUUUCUUUGCAGGGCUUGAAGAAAAAGAAAAAUAAAUGGUACUUGGAUAGCGGAUGUUCUAGGCAUAUGACCGAAAACUAUGCAUGGUUCUCAAGUUUUACCAAAAUCGAAAAUGGUAGAGAUGUAUCCUUUGGAGAUAACUCAAAAGGAAAAAUUCUCGGAAUUGGUAAUGUUGGUAAAGUUUCUUCAACUCUUAUUGAAAAUGUGUGUUUGGUUGAAAAUUUGAAACACAAUUUGAUUAGCAUUAGUCAACUAUGUGACAAAGGUUAUAAAGUUGCUUUUGAUAAAUCAAGAUGUGUUAUUGAGAAUGCAUGUGAUGGGAAAAUUUUGUUUAUGGGAAAUAGAUGUGGCAAUGUUUACACGAUUGAUAUAGAGUGUGCAUCUACUCAUGAUAAAUGUUUUUCGGCAUUGCAUGAUGAUGGUUGGUUAUGGCAUAGAAGACUAGGACAUGCAAGCAUGGAUUUAAUUUCAAAAAUUUUGAAAAAUGAUUUAGUUAAAGGUCUUCCAAAAAUUAGUUUUCAAAAGGAUAGAAUUUGUUAAGCUUGUCAAUUUGGAAAACAAAUCAAAACUUCUUUAAAAAACAAGAAUCAUAUCUCUACUUCAAAACCUCUUCAAUUACUUCACAUAGAUUUGUUUGGACCUUCUAGAUAUGUUAGUUUAAGUGGCAAAUUCUAUGCAUUUGUAAUUGUAUAUGAUUAUUCUAGAUACACAUGGGUAUUAUUCUUAACUAAUAAGGAUGAUGCCAUUGAUGCAUUUAGAAUUUUCUGUAAAAAUGUUCAAAAUGAAAAUGGUUAUUCUAUUACUUGUAUUAGAAGUGAUCAUGGUGGAGAGAUUGAAAAUCAUGCAUUUGAAAAUUUUUAUAAUGAUUUUGGCAUUGAGCAUCAAUUUUCAUCACCUAGGACUCCACAACAAAAUGGAGUUGUUGAGAGAAAGAAUAGGUCUAUUCAAGAAAUGGCUAGGACCAUGUUAAAUGAAAAUGCAUUACCAAAAUAGUUUUGGGCCGAAGCCGUCAACACCGCUUGUUAUGUUUUAAAUCGAGUGUUGAUUAGAUCUCAUCUCAAUAAAACUCCCUAUAAGCUUUGGAAAGAUAGAAAACCCAAUAUUGGUUAUUUCAAAGUUUUUGGAUGCAAAUGUUUUAUUUUUAACACAAAAGAUAAUCUUGGUAAAUUUGAUCCAAAAUCUGAUGUUGGCAUCUUUCUCGGGUAUUCAAACUCAAGCAAAACUUAUAGAGUUUAUAAUAAAAGAACUUUAGUUGUGGAAGAAUCCAUGCAUGUUAUGUUUGAUGAAUCUAACCCCUCAUUUGCGGAGAAAUGAGUUGUUAAUGAUGAUGCAGAUGGAGAGUUACAAGAAGAAUUAUCAAAAGAGAAUCAAGAGCAUGCACCACAAGAAAAUCAAGAGGAUAGACAAGAAGAACAAACAAAUAUGAAGCUAGAGCAAUAAGAAGGUAGUUCUCAAACACUCCCCAAGGAGUGGAGGUAUGUUUCCUCUCAUCCUAAGGAUUUAAUAUUAGGUGAUCCUUCAAGAGGUAUAACAACUAGAUCAUCACUUAGAAACACAUGUGAGCAUGCUUCAUUUAUUUCUCAAAUUGAACCAAAAUCUUUUGCGGAUGCGGAAAAUGAUGAGUUUUGGAUUAUGGCAAUGCAAGAGGAGUUAAAUCAAUUUGAGAGAAAUAAAGUAUGGGAAUUGGUUCCUAAACCGGAACAUCAAUCCAUUAUAGGAAUGGGUAUUUAGAAAUAAAAUGGAUGAAUCCGGUGUGGUUGUAAGAAAUAAAGCUAGAUUAGUGGCUCAAGGAUACAACCAAGAAGAAGGAAUCGAUUUUGAUGAAACAUUUGCACCUGUAGCAAGAUUAGAAUCCAUUAGGAUGUUGUUAGCAUUUGCAUGUCAUAAAGAUUUUAUUUUAUUUCAAAUGGAUGUCAAGAGUGCUUUCCUAAAUGGUUAUAUUAUGGAGGAAGUUUAUGUGAAACAACCCCCUGGUUUCGAAAAUGAGAAAUUUUCAAAUCAUGUGUAUAAGUUAUCAAAAGCAUUGUAUGGAUUAAAACAAGCACCUAGAGCAUGGUAUGAUAGGCUUAAAAAUUUCUUGUUGGAUAACGAUUUUUCGAUGGGAAGAGCGGAUACUACCCUCUUUAUUAAAAAUAAAAAUCAAGAUAUACUUGUUGUUCAAAUUUAUGUUGAUGAUAUUAUUUUUGGUUUUGCUAAUGAAUCUUUGUGCAAAAAAUUUUCCUCUUGUAUGAGUAAGGAAUUUGAGAUGAGCAUGAUGGGAGAAUUGAAGUAUUUUCUUGGACUUCAAAUCAAACAAAACAAUGAGGGGAUCUUCAUCAACCAAGCUAAGUACGUCAAAGACUUGCUCAAGAGAUUUGGUAUUGAUGAAUCAAAUACCAAGAAUACUCCAAUGAGUACAACAAUCAAGCUUGAUAAAGAUGAAAAAGGUAAAGAGGUUGAUAUUAAAAAGUAUCGAGGUAUGAUCGGAUCCUUACUUUACGUAACCGCAAGUAGACCCGAUAUCAUGUUUAGUGUAUGUUUUUGUGCACGAUUUCAAUCAUGUCCCAAGGAAUCUCAUUUGCUUGCUGUUAAAAGAAUUUUUCGUUAUUUGAGUGGAACCAUAGAUAUUGGCCUUUGGUAUCCUAGAGAAACUCAUAUAGAUUUAACUUGUUAUUCGGAUGCCGAUUUUGCUGGUCACAAGGUCGAUAAGAAGAGUACUAGUGGAACUUGCCAUUUUCUUGAUCAUUCACUUGUUUCAUAGUUUAGUAAGAAACAAAAUUCAGUGGCACUCUCAACUAUUGAGGCGGAAUAUAUUGCCGCAGGUAGUUGUUGUGCACAAGCACUUUGGAUGAAACAAACACUUAGAGACUAUGGUAUUUAUCUUGAACAAAUUCCUAUCAAGUGUAAUAAUACUAGCGUCAUGAAUCUUUCAAAGAAUCCCAUUCAACAUUCUAGAACCAAGCAUAUAGAGAUUAGGCAUCAUUUCUUGAGAGAUCAUGUUCAAAAAGGUGAUAUUGCAUUAGAAUUUAUCUCUACGGAAAAACAACUUGCCGAUAUUUUUACAAAACCCUUUUGCGAAGAACAAUUUUCAAAAAUUCGGCAUGAACUUGGGAUGAUGAAAUUUUCGCAUUAACAUCUCUAUUUAUGUUAUUGAAUCUAUUAAAAUCGUUUGCUUGAUAAUUAUUAAUGUUUAUGAAGUGUUUGAGCAAGUUAGAUAUAUGUGGUGUUUGAUUUAUUAAUUUUUGAAUGCUUAUGUGCUUCAUGAAUAUAUGCUUGUUGGAUGGAUUAUUUGUUUGAAUUAAUUAUCUUUUAGAUGUUUAAAAUCAUGAAUCAUGCAUUAAAUUGGCUCUUGAGAUGUUUCGGGAUCACAAAAUGGUCACGGAAUUAAUCGAAAUUAGCCGAAAAUCAACUUGAGUGCAGCUUGACAGCAACCAGGCGGCUAGCCGCUUGGAAAAUGUCCCCAACCCGAGAGCAAGCGGCUAGCCGCUUGGUCACGGGUUGGGCAUAUUUUUUUUUGCUUCUUCUUCUUCCUUUGUUAAUUUUCUGCACAUGCUCUCUCUUUCACUCAAAACCGUGAGCAACCCAUCCAUUUUUCACUUCCAUUUUCUUCCUUUUUCAUCCAUUUUCAUGCCCAAAUCAACCAUUCAAACUAAUACCCAUGCAUUUCAUCUUCAUUAAACCCUUCUCCAUCAUGAUUUCUUCACUUGUUCUUCAUCAUUCCAUCCUCAUUCCAUUCACGCGUGAAUAGUAUUCUCCAUUUUCUUUCUUAAAUUUCUUCAUCUUUCACUCAUUUUCUUGUUAAAAUCAAUCAUCCAACUCAUUAUUCAUCCAUUACUCCUUCAAUUUUCACUCUCAAAACAACAUUUCAUCAACUCUCCACAUAAAACCCAAAAUAAAAAAUUCUCACUCUACCCGUUUCUCUCUCUUCAUUUUCAAGCUUCCUUUAGCCCAUUUUUAAUUCACUCUACAUCAUAAAUUAGCUUAAUUCAUCUCUAGGCUUAAUUUUCUUGCCUCAAACAAAUCCAUUUCACUCAAUUUUUGUUAAACCCGAAAUUGCAUUUUUAAGCUUUUUUUUUCUUCCAACAAUGGCGGGUGGUGACAAGUCCAAGGGAAAACACGUGGCCAAGAAGCGUAAGGAUGAUCAUGGAGAUUAUUCAGACUUUAUGUUGAUUCAUUUUCCACGACUCCAACUUCGGAAACAUUUUCUCGACAAUUUCAAGCCAAGGUCGGUCAUUACUCCUUAUUUUGCCAAUCUCAGUAAUAUGGAGAAUUUAGAAAUUUGUAAUGAAUCUCUUAAAGAUUUACUUAUUGCUAUGGGAUGGAAGAAUGUGUUGGUCGUUAAUGAUCCUUACUAUGAAAAUUUAGUCAAGGUUUUCUAUUCGAAUAUGGAUACGGAAUUGUCAAAUAGAAUUGUUACUAAUGUUGGGAGAGUUCACAUUGAAUUUGAUGUUGCUUUGCUAAAUUCUAUCCUUGGCACUCCAAAUGAGGGAUUGGAAAUGUAUAGUGCUAGAGCCAAAAUCAAACAACCUUGGUUUUCCCUUGAAAAUGCCGUUCGAAAAAUUUGUCGAUGGCGUGAUUUGUCCACUGCGUUCUGUAACUCACCUUUGAAAUCUCAAGCCUUACCUCUUCAAACUCGAAUCCUUCAUUAUGUUCUUCAUCAUGUGAUUACUCCUAGAGCUGGUCAUGUGGAUGAAGUUAGUCGUUUAGAUGUAGCCAUUUUGGACUGCAUUCUAGAGGAGAGGGUGCUAAAUACUGGGUAUAUUAUCCUUCAUCAUAUGCUUAGUACUCCCAGCUUAGCCAAAAGAUCCCUUCCAUAUGCUAGUAUUAUUACCCGAAUUCUAGAGUAUUUCCAUGUCCCUAUAACCGAGUCAAUCUCCUUGAAUUCGAUGGAAUUAGGCGAUGAUUCAAUCGCUAAUCUGGGUUUUUAUUGGAGGGAUGAUAGCUGGCAUAAAGAUCAAAGAAACAAAAAGGUUACGGAACUUGCUCCUUCAGAUCAUCAUUUCCUUAACGAUGUCCGUCCCCCACACUUGCUUUGUGAUCUUAGUGCUCCAUAUCUCUCACAUCUUCCACCUUCCGAGGGCCCUUCCCACUCUACUUCAGCUGACUCUGAGGAUCCGUUGCAAUAGCUGUUAACUAAAGUGGAUUCACUUUCUGAGCGGCAAGACAAACUUCAAUCUAUGCUUGAAGCUUUUCAACUUCAGUCCAUUUCCGAACGAGAGCGUCUCUUUGCUCAACAGCAGCAGCUUCUUGAUGGCCAGCAGUAACUUUUUGCAGCUCUUGGAUUUCCACCACCAUCCUCUUCAUCACAUCCACCAUCUCCUUAGCACUCUAUUUUUUUUUUCGUCACUCUGCACUACAUCUCUCCAUGCAUUGUUGUUUUUCCUUUGCGGAUGACAUCUUGUUGUUUGAUAUUUAGAUAUGUUGUUUUUAAUUGUGGAUUAAUGAUGCUUGUUAUUUGAUCAUCGGAUAUGUUAUAUUUGGAUAAUGUUUUCGGAUUCUUGGAAUAUUAUAACUCUUUGGUUAAUUAUAUGCUUAAUUCUUAUGUGUUGCUUGAUGACUUGGUGGAGUUGGUUUUGUUUAAGCUUAUAUGGAAGUGUUUUUAACCAUGUUGUGUAUUUGAGGAUUUGUUCAUUUUUAAGGGGAGACUCUGCCGAAAUUUUUGCUCACACAAAAUGGGUAAUCUCUUCAUUGAAUUAUUUUUUUAUGAUCUUGUUUCAAAUUGCAUAUAUCUAUCUUUUAUUUUUUUUAAAGGGGGAGAUACAUAUGAUAAGUUUUUUUUUUUUUUAAAAAAAUCAUUUUGGUUAAAAUUUUUAAUUGGUCAUAUAUUCAUGUUUCUCGAUCAUCCAUUCAUAUAUUAUCGGUCUUAGCAUUAAUCUCUAGCAAUUUUUGAUGAUGAAGGGGGAGAGAUCAUGUAUUUUGAAUUCGGAGACAUGUAAUACGUAUUUUGUAUUUCAAGUAUUUAUGCAUGGUUUUGAAAUAUUAAGGGGGAGCUUACAAAUUAUCAUAAAUCAUAUAUUCAGGGGGAGUUUUUGUUUUAAUUUUGAUUUAUGUCUUCAAUUAUAUAUGCCAUGUAUUAAGGGGAAGUAUAAAUGUCAAAAUACAUGAGAUGUUUGUCAUCAUAAAAAAGGGGGAGAUUGUUAGCCUAAAGGGCUACUCAUAAUGUAAUUUUGAUGAUAACAAACAUAUGUAUUAAGUGAUUUAAUAGAUAUUGUAUUUUACAUUUUCACUAGUUUUUGAAGGGUAAUAUUUAUGCAAGUGAAUCAAGUGAAAUCAAGCUCAAGACACUCAACGGACAAACGGCGAAAUCAAGAAUAAAGUUUAGAGCUCAACAAAUAAAUUAGUGUGAUAAAUUCUUGUAAAGCCGGUAUGAUUUAAUUGAUGCAUGAUUUAGCAUUUGAGAAGCUCAAGAGAUUAAUUUAAUUAAAUACUUUUCAUAAACUAAAAUGUUUUAUUUUUAUAAAGUAAAGUAUUUUGUGGAUUUAAGUAAUUUGGACUUAAAUGCUAAGAUUUGAAAUCUUUGAUUUUAAUAAGUAUUAAAUUUCGGAGUUGGACGUUUUUAUAAACACUUGAAAUGUUUUGGGCCACACUAUAAUUUAUGAAUGUUUUGGACUAAAGUGAAAGGUUUUGAGAACUUUGAAAAAUAUGGGUAAAAGGACCUUUGUGCAAAAUAAUAAAAUUUUUGGGGCCAUAUCAUAAUUUUAGAAAGUUUGGGAAAGACAACUAUUCUUAUGAAGUUUUGAAAUUGGACCUAUUUGUAAAGUUUUAUGACAUUUUAGGUUAUAGUAUAAUUAUAGAAAGUUUUGGGCCAAAGUGUAAUUUUAGUGAACAGUAUACUAUAGCAAAAUUCAAAAAUAACGGUAAUAUCACUGUUCCUGAGCGGCUAGCCAGAUAAUCAAGCGGCUAACCGCUUGGGAACGGGAAUUUACCUAUAACGACUAGUUUUUGGGCUUUCACUAUAAAAACUCAACUUAAACUUCAUUCUAAGAACCAAUGCAAGCAAAUAUAAGAUCAUACAACAUAUAUUGAGCUUCCAAAACGCAAAUCAUCAUAGAUUGAAUCAUUGUGAGCUAUUAUUUGCAUAUCCACUCUUCAAUAGAGUUUUUGUUGUAAUUUUCAUUUCUUAUCAAAUUAUGAGUGUAUAAGUGUGAGAAACACUUGGGAUAAAGAGAUUGGGGAGAUAAUCUCUUGAUUGUAAAGGUUCAUUGACACCUUAUAAGUCAAUUGUAAGAACUUGAAGCCUUGGGAGGCUUGGAUAGUGAAAUCCUCGAGCUUGGUUGGCUUGGAGGCGUGGACGUAGGCGGAGAUUGCCGAACCACGUAAAAAUCCGUGUGUUUGUUUUUCUCUUCCCUUACUCUUUUAUUUUUACGCUUGUUUGAAUUUAUUGUUUUCUAUUUCAUUAAGGUGUUAGAUUGAUUUGUUGGAGCGAAUUGUAUUAGGAUUAAUUUGGUGGAGUGGAAUUGUAUUGCAUAAUUUUUAAAAUCCCAAUUCAUCCCCCCUCUUGGGUUGCGUUACUUGUAUUUCACUAUCAUCAUUCAAUCAUUGUCAUAUCUAAAGUAGGGAUUUUUAAGCGUAAACCUAUAUAAUUGCUUGGUUAGUCAAACCAAUAGAGCUUUUUAAUGUUUCAGCUGCAAUAGUAGAUUCUAAACAACAUAAAGUCAUGAAAGAAUAAUAUCAAGCCCUAAUUAAUAACAAAACUUAGUUCUUGUUUAGCCUACUCAUUUUGUUACAGUAGUGAUAACUUUAUAAAAUGAGAAUUAUCAUAGUAUUUCUAGGCUUAAAUUAGUAUCAUUUAGAGAGUAAAUGAUAAUUUUUAUCCAAUUUUUAGUUAUUUUUUGCAUAAGUAUCUAUUUAAGUUUGUUUUAGCAAUUUGAUGUGUUUGAGACUAUUUUGUGCUCUAAUUAAGUGUACUAUUAUAAGUGACUAAAAAGCACUUGCUUUGUUGAUGAAUGUAGAGAAAAAGGACUGCAUUGUUGCCGCAACAAACCUAUUGAAAAGGACAAAAGACUUAUCUGCACAUGAACAAAUACAAGUCUGAACCAGAGAGAAUAUUGUCGCACUUACUGUAGCAAUCUAGGACUAAGUAAAGACAAAACUAUCCAAGCUAUUCAUUCACUAUCUGAUAGAUUCUGCUGCAACCAUUACUGCACUGCCAUUGUCAUGUGCAGACAAAACAAUGGUAGGGGCACUGAUGGGUGUCGAAGCCAACAAAAAUAAAUUCCUACUCUAAAUAAAUUGUGUAUAGUGAUUGAGCAGGGUCGUGUCCACAGAGAUCAGUAAUUAUUUAAAUCCUUUUGAAACGUAAAACGUAAAAUGGGGGAAUUGUUGACAAUAAUAAAAAUCAAAUUAAAAUAACGAGAAUGUAAAUUAAAGUUGUGAUUCAAAUUGGAGAAAGCUCUGGUUGAAGGAAUUAACUCAGCUUGAUUCGACUACUGAUCAUUGAUUCAAAUAUAGAUUAUUAUUACUUAUGAAUAGACCGGUUAUAGCUACUGAGACCCUCUAAUAGCCAAUCUAUCCUUAACUAGUCGAUAACCAAGGUACGACCGUUGGUUAUUUCUCUAAUCAAUAGACAACCCUAGAUACGAUCAUAGGAUUUAAUCAAUUGACAGCCUGAAAAACCAGAGAGACCCAAAUCCUAAUCAACACAUAUGAUGAUUCAUUUAAAUUAGAUUGUUUAUUCUCACAACACAACUCUCUGCUAUGUUAUUUGUCACAAACAUUAAAUUCUUCAUACGAUGAAUCCUUUAAUUGACAAUAGAUUAAGUUGAUAAUUAAAUAGUGGCCAAUUACCUAAUUAACAAACAUAAUCAUGAAAAUAAUUCAGAGAAUAAACAAAUACCCAAAAAGCAAUAAAACAAUUAAAGCACAAGAAAGAUCUCACAGUAGUGAUGAAUCAAAGCUUCAUUAUCCUUCAACCAGAAAAAUAGGUUUAGUUCUUCAUAGAGAGAAGAGAAAAAUUAAGAUCUAGGGUUUCUUUCUUUUUCUCCAAUCCAAAUCCCCCCUUUUUCACAAUAGAUUCCUCCCUUAAAUACUCUCUCUCUCUUCUCUUUUAGAAUUCUAUUUAAAAUAAAAUACUAAUAUCUGAAAUAUUAAAUUCGUAAUUACAAAAAUAACCAAAAAUACAAAACACGUUAAACUAAAAACUGCAGGUCCGCAGUUGACAGCACGCGCCCACGCCUUAUCAACAAAGUUCUUCUGACGCUCAUAAUUUCUCCAAGAGAACAAUCCUCCUUAAACAUAAUCUUUUAGCUCAAUUUUAUCACCAAUCAAUAGAAUUGCACCUACAAAAGUAAAACACAAGUAAAACAUUAUUAUUAAGUGCAAAACAUCGAUAUUAAGGGAAGUAAACAAUACAAAACUAGUGCAUAAAUUGCACUCUAACAGGCACAAAAAGAAAUGUGGUCCUAGAAUGCUAAGAAAAAAUAUGUGUCCUCUUGCCUUUUGGUUGCCUUAAUUCUAAGAUAUAAAAGGGCACAUUUUUUAGGAAAGACAUCAUCAAAUAGUCGUCACGCACACAAAAAGAAAAAAAGGAAAGAGAGAAUGUUUGAGCUACAACAGAGUGUAUCUCGUGGAGAAGGAUGAGAGAAACUUGAAGACUAAAGUGUGACACUUUGGUCCUUUUGUAUCUCAACUUUAUUAUUGUAUUUUGCUUGUUGUAUUUGCUCUUUAAUGAUUUAUUUCAUGGCAAACACUUACGUUUUUAUUGUUUUAAAGAUCAUCAUGAGCUAAACUUUAAUGUAGUUGGGUUUUGAAUGAGCUUAAUGGUUAUUUGACGUCUAUAUGUAUGUUGCUUAAAAUAUGCUAUAGCAUUGUAUCUUGAUUUUACAUAUUGCAAAUCUUUAUUUCGGUUGACCACCUAUUUAGUGGAUACUAGUUAAGAACGAUUCUAAAAAUGGUCUGACUUAAUGGAAUAAAUUAAGAUAAUAUGUGGUUUUACAUUGAGUUUCCCAAAUUGCGUUAAUCUCGAUUUAAAUGGGGUCAUCCUUAAUCUAAAAUUAAUGAGGAACUAGACAUAAGGAUUUAUCUUGUAGGGCAAAUAAAGUCUAUAUUGUAUAAUGCUAUGUUUAAUGUUAGUUUAACAACUGAUCACUGUUAGAUUGCAUAUAAACAUAAGAUAUCAAACAUGCGAUCUAGAGAUUCUGCUUUAAAGAUUUUGUCUAGUGCUAGAGUAAAUGCUGUAGCAAAUGUGCCUCAAGUAUAAAAUAGUCAAUAACUAAUAAAUGAUUUUAGAACCUAACUACCCUUUUGUCAUUGAAGUAUAUCUUUAUGUUUGACUUUACUUUUUCAUUACUGCAUUCUGUUUGUUGCAUUUUUAAUUUCAUUAGAUCAUUAAUUUCAAAUCAUUUAUUUUUGUUUUAUUUAGUUUACUAAAAUUGCACUGUUAAGAUUGCUAUAGCAAGUCUUAUAACGUCAAUUCCUAUAGGGAUGAUCUUGAUACUCAUCAUUAUAUUACUCGUUGUAUACACUUACACAUUGACACCACAUCACACACCAAGUACUUGGCAACAACUGGGUGUUUCAUGGUAGUGUAUUAAGUUACAAAGUUAGGCUUAUAUAGCCAAAGGAUUUCAUCAAACUCAAGGGUUGGACUACAAUGAAACAUUUGGUCCAGUUGUUAAAUCUUCUACCAUCAAGGUUAUUUUGAGUUUGCUUAUGCUAAAUCAUUAGGUGCUAAGACAAAUUGACAUCAAUAAUGCAUUUUUAUUGGUUACUUUAUUGCAAAAGUUUAUAUGCAGCAACCAGAGGGCUCUAUAGAUAACACUAGACUUAAUCAUAUUUACAAAUUACACAAAGCUUUAUACGACCUCAAGGAAGGCCUUAAGGCAUAGUUUAACUAACUUAAAAUGGCACUUAUAGCUCAUUAGGAUUUUAUUAACUUCAGAUCAUAUGCUCCUGUAAUCUUUAAGAAAGUUUAGGGAUAUUUGCUACUUGUUCUUAUGUGUGUAGGUGAUAUCAUCAUCGCAGGUUCAAACACUUAGCUGAUACAACAUGUCAUUAGUGACUUGCAGUCUGUUUUUACACUCAAAGAUCUUAGAGAAUUGAAUUAUUUCUUUAGUACUCAAGUCACCAAGAAUUAAUCAGGACUCUAUCUCUCUCAAUCUAAGUAUAUCUAACUUACUUAGCAAAGCAAGACUGCAAGAUAACACACCCUCCUCAAGUCUUAAGGUCUCUGAAGUCUUCUCACCAAAGUGAUUAUUUUUCUAAUACUUCCUUGUAUUAAAGCACCAUUACAACAAUUCAGUAUGCUAUUUUGACUUACUUAAGUUUAGUUUUUUAGUUAACAAACUCAGUCAAUUCCUCUCAGCUCUACCCGUUAAUCAUUAGCAAGGUUGUGAAAGGGUUCUCAAGUAUCUUAAAGGUACCAUUCACCCUGGACUGUAGUUUUAUCAUUAGGGUAACUUACAAACAAAUUACUUUAGUGAUGAAGAUUAGGCAGGUGACAGGAAUGACAGAAGGUUAGUUGUUGGUUUGUUAGUUCCAUAUUAGUAUUCUGAUGCUCUAAAAAGCAAGCUGUUAUCUAUCGAUCAAGUACCGAAUAUGAGUACAGAGCCUUGGAAAUGGCUGCCUUAGAGGUACUUCUCUGAGAUUGUUGUUCUUAUUCCCUCCAUUCCAGUCAUUUAGUAUGAUAACCAAAGUGCCACAACCUUGGUAUGUAAUCUCAAGUUUCACUAUAGCACAAAACGUAUUGAAUUAAAUGUUCAUUUUAUCCGGGAAAAAGUUGCCACCAACAGUUCUUAAGUUCAUUAUGUUUCUAGCUCUGAUCAAACUACAGAUAUUCUAAUCAAGCGUUAGCCUAUCGUUAUUUAUGUUACUAGUGCGAUAAGCUUAACCUUACUUCACUAGGAUGAGCUUAAAGAGGGAUGUUAAGGAUAAGCAAGCUGGCAAGCUGUUAACUGAUGAGUUAGGUGAAUUUACAGCAUGUGUAUUAGUUGUAACGAAUUGCCACAUAGAACUUAUGAUAGGAUGUUAUUAGAUUCAGGUAAUUAUUGUUAGCGAAGUUAUUAUUGAAGCUUAGCUAAUAUAAAUUAAGCUCAGAAUACUUAGUGUGAAAAUCAAAAAGUAAAAUCUAGAUCAUUCUACUUCUUUUUCUCUUGAAUUUUCUCAGUUUCCAAACAUCUAGUUACAAUUUUCAUAAUAAUGCAUCCAUUGGCUUUAAAAUUAAAAAUUAGUUGAUUCCUCUAAAUCUGCCAAAUGGUAAGUUCUUAUUUGUCUGGGCCCACUAGCUCUAAAUCAACUAAAUUAGUAAACUCUUACAAGUUUUUCGUCUACUUAUGUCUCAAUCAAUAAAUGUCGUGUAGUUUUCGUUAGGAAAUUGAUGGCUACAGCAGACAUAUAACUAAAGUAAAAUUGAGAAAAUUAAGAAAAUUGAGACACAAAAUCAUACAGGAGACACCAAAAUUUAAGUGGUUUGAUUUUUUUCCUACGUCUACGAGCGAAAAUAUAAGGAUAAAACUAUACCAAUGAAAUAGAGAUUACAAGUACUCAAGUAUUUUAAUUUGCUACUGAUAACUCUAUGAAUUAAGAGUUAUUAUGGCACUUUUAGACUUAAAUCAAUACUAUUUAGAGAGUAAAUUAUGUGUUUCUAUUGCAUUUUUUGUUACAUUUUGCAUAAAUAAUCAUUUUAGUCAAUCUUAAUAAGUUUUGCUCGAUUUAAAGUAAUUUGUGCUCAAAUUGUGUGCAUAAUUGUAGGUUUUCAUAAGCUUAUAAUUCAUGGAAGGAAUGCUAUGCAAUAGGCUUGCAAAAAUAAGGAAAGAACAUGACUACAAAAGAGUUGAAACAAAUCUGAAACAGUGCAGUUACUGUAGAUAUUGCUGUAGCAACCAUUACUGUAGCAAUCCUAGAACAACGACAAAGAAAAUUCUGUGCGGGAUAAUUACAAAAUUGCGUUUUGCAGUUUCCUAAUUUGACUUAUGCGAGACCUAGGCUUCCGUUUACGCUAAUUUUCAAUUAUAAAAGAAGCAUACAUCAUAAGGAAAACAAAGGGCCAUCACCUGAGGAGAAAAACACAAAGAAAAAAAAGAAAAACAAGAUUCAAGAGAGAGAUUAAGGGCUACACAAGAGGAAAAAUUGCAGAGAUCAAUUAGGAGCUCAAUCCUUUUUGUCCUUCUCUUGUUUUCGUGUUUUCUAUUUACUCAUGGGGAUGCGUUUCAUGGCUGAAACUUUGUUCUUUAUUUUUUUUUUGCAAACCAUGAACUAAAUUUAUUUGUGGUUGAGUGAUAAAAAAUCUUGAUGGUUUAUUGACUGAAUAUAUGUGUUUCUGCAUGUUUGCUAUAGUAGUUUGUUUUGAUAGUAUUUAUUUUUAUUCAUUAUUUCGGUUGAUCACCCAUUUAAUGAUACAAGUUAGGAGAGAACCGCAAAAUGGCCUAUCUUAGUGGAACAUAUCAGAGCAAUACUUGGUUUUAGAUUAAGUUUCCUAGAUUGAGUUUAACUUAUCCCAAAAGGGUCAUGCUUAAUCUAAAAUUAGUGAUGAACUAGACAUAGAGAUUCACUUUGUAGGGUAAAUAGAACUUAAGCGUGUAAUGUUAUAUCUUAUGUUGACAUAACAACUAAUCAUUGUUAGGUUGCAUAUAGAUAUAAGAUAUUCAACAUGCGACGGGUGAGGAUACAUAAGGAUUCUACCCAGUGCUAUAGUAGAUGUUGCAGCAACCGAGUCAAACAUUAGAAAAUAGUCAAUACCAUAAAGAGAGUUUAUUCACUCAACUACUCUAUAUUCUCAUUGGUUUUAUCCUUGAGUUUGUCGUGAUAAUUUAUUUUGUUGCAUUUUAUUUAUUGCACUUUUAUUUUAAUUAGUAUAAUAGUUUCACUAAGUGUUUUAUUUUAAUUUAGCACAAAAUCUGCACUCUUGAGAUUGCUGUAGCAAAUCUAAUAAUAUCAAUCCCUGUGGAGACGAUCUUGAAUACUUAUCACUUUAUUACUUAUUGUGUACACUUGCACAUUGACACCAAUAGUAUUAGUAUUUUUACACCAACAAGUUUCUGGCGCCGUAGCUGGGGAUUGAUUGUUCAUUGUGAUUUGUGAAAUUAAUUUUAACGGUACUAAUUUUUAAUUUUAUUUUGAUUUGUUUAUUUUGUUGACAUAGGUGAUCUAGCAACCCUUGCAUGCGCAAAUAUAAAUCUAUUGAAUUCUAGUUUGAUCCAGAAAUUGAAAGAACUGGAAGGAGAUUGAGAAGAGAGCAUCGGGAAUUACAAGCUGCUGUAGCAAUGGAUGAUUUGCAAUAUUUGAGAAACUUGAACUGUAGAGAGGAGAUACAACCAGUCAAUGUACAUGAAGGUUUGCAUGGACAAUGUGUUCAAAGGCAACCAGGGAACAACAACAUUGUUCACAUGGCGAACGAUAGAGAUAGAGCCAUUUGAGACUACGCAGUGUUAACUCCUCAGGCCAUACAUCCGGGAAUAGUUAGACCCGACGUUCAAGCUGACAAUUUUGAACUCAAACCCGUGAUGUUUCAGAUGCUUCAAACAGUGGGGCAAUUUAAUGGUUUGCCAUCCGAAGAUCCUCAUCUACACCUUAAGUUAUUUUUGGAAGUAAGUGAUGCUUUCAAGAUUACUGGAGCAUCGCAAGAAGCAUUGAGACUCAGACUUUUCCCGUUUUCUUUGAGAGAUCGAGCAAGAGCAUGGUUGAAUUCUCUACUACCAGAUUCUAUCACUACAUGGAAUGAUUUGGCUGACAAAUUUUUGAUGAAAUACUUUCCGCCAACCAAGAAUGCAAAGUUGAGGAACGAGAUCACAUCUUUCCAUCAACUUGAAGAUGAGAGCUUGUGUGAUGCAUGGGAGAGAUUUAAGGAGUUACUUAGGAGAUGUCCUCAUCAUGGUAUUCCUUACUAUAUAUAGUUGGAAACUUUCUAUAAUGGUCUCAACCCAAGCACUAGAUUGAUGGUGGACGCUUCAACAAAUAGGGCCUUGUUAUCUAAGUUUUACAAUGAGACUUAUGAAAUUUUGGAGAGAAUAGCCAACAAUAACUAUCAGUGGCCAUCAAUCAGACAAGCUACAGCAAGAGGUACAAUAGGAGUUCAUAACGCAGCAAGAGGUACAGUAUUGUCAGCUCAAGUAACUUCAUUAACAAACAUGGUGAAAACUAUGACCACUGCUCUAGCAAGUGUCAACCUAGUUGCCGAGGUCUCUUGUGUUUAUUGUAGAGAAGGACACUUAUUUGAUAAUUGUCCUGGGAAUCCAGCUUCAGUAAAUUAUGUGGGCAGUUUCAAUAGACAAAACCAGGACAAUCCAUAUUCAAACACUUACAACCCUGGAUGAAGACAACACCCGAACUUUUCAUGGAGUAAUCAGAAUCAGCCUGCUGCAGCAUUCAGUGGAUAGAACAUACCUGCUCAACUACCUGGAUUUUAUCCACAAAAUCAAGAGAAAAUAAGCAUCAACACUGAUCAACUCAGUUCCCUUGAAGGUUUGAUUAAGGAUUAUAUUGUGAAGAAUGAAGCAGUUGUCCAAAGUCAUACUGAAUCUUUGAGAAACUUGGAAAAUCAAAUUGGACAGCUUGCUGCAGCAUUAAGCAACAGACCUCAAGGCAGUUUACCCAGCAACACAGAGGACCUAAGAAGAGAAGGGAAAGAGCACUGCAAAGUGAUUAACUUGAGAUCUGGAAAGGAUAUUGAUAGUUCAGUUGGUGUACCAAAAAGAAGAAUUGAGUCUAACAAAGGCAAAGAAGACACUCAAGUAGAGAAUGAGUCAUAAUUUUUCACUUUUUAAAAUGCAAAUCAAUACAGUUCUGCUACAGCAUCUGCAGAAAGUUAUGAUCCAGCACUUAGUGGUGAGGUAGCUACAACAUUAUCAUCAACAAAACCGAGUCAAGCAAAAGAGAAGCAGUCUGCACAACCUGCUGCAGCACAACAGUUUAGACACCCACAACCCUUCCCUCAAAGAUUUCAGAAGCAACAACAAGACAAGCAGUUCAGCAAAAUCUUAGGAGUGCUGAAACAGCUGCAUAUCAAUAUCCAUUUUGUGGAAGUUCUAGAGCAAAUGCCAAACUAUGCAAAGUUUUUUAAGGAUAUUUUGACAAAGAAAAGAAGACUUGGAGAGUUUGAAACAGUUGCUUGAGCACAAGAGAGCAGCCGAAUGCUUCAGAGUAAGAUACCACAGAAGAUGAAGGAUCCAGGAACCUUCACAAUCCCAUGCUCCAUAGGCACUAAAUACAGUAGCAAAGCACUUUGUGAUUUAGGGGCUAGCAUCAAUCUCAUGCCUUUAUCAGUAUUUAAGCAAUUGGGAGUUGGUGAAUGUAGACCAACAACAGUGACUUUACAACUUGCUGAUGUUAGCAUAUAUGUAUCCAUAAUGUUGAUUUUGAUGAUAACAAACAAGAUUAAGAAUGAUUAAGUUUUUAAAAGAUCAAAUUAUUUUAAAUAAAUCAUUAUUAUCACAUUUUAAAGGUUUUAUAUUUAAUGGAAAAAUGAUUUAUGAAAUUAUUUAUUUUUCAAGUUUAUGGCUUAAUUGAAAGAGUUUUGAAAACUAUGAAAUCAACAAGUAUUGCUUGAAAUUUUAGAGAAUGAUUUAUUUGAAAAGUAUUCAUAGCAUUUUGGGCUAUAUAAUAAUUUCAGAAAGUUUUGGGAAUAGUAAGCAUUAUUUAGAAAUUCUGAAAUUGGACUUAUUUGCUAAAUGUAUAAUGUUUUGGGCCAUAGUACAGUUAUAUAAAGUUUUGAGGUCAAACUAUUAUUUUACAAAAUAGUUCACUGUAGCAGUCACUGUAGCAGUUAUUGUAGAAAACGGCGAUCCGGCAUCUUAAUAACGGCUCGCCGACAUCUAACAGAAUUGAAGAUUAGCCUCUAGACCUAAACGGUGAUCCGACAAUUUUGAUAAACGGCUCGCCGAUAUCGAACAGAACUGAAGAUUAGCCUCUGCACUUAAACGGCGAUCCGACAUCUAGAUAACGGCGAUCCGACAAUUUAAAAAUCAACCCAACGGUCAUAUUGACCAGUCAAACGGCGAUCCGACAUCUAGUUAACGGCGACCCGACAGUGUGAUGGUCCUUUUAUGCCUUUGACUAAAAAUGAAGUCGGGGAAGAUAUUCCAAAACCUUCACAGGAAUGGAAUGAAUUGGAAAAGAGAAAAGCUACUCUAAAUUCCAAAGCUAUGAAUGCCUUGUUUUGUGCACUAGAUAAGGAAGAAUUUCAUAGAGUAUCUAGUUGUGAGAGUGCUGAUGAAAUUUUACACAAACUUGAAGUUGUUUAUGAAGGCACGAAUCAAGUAAAAGAGUCUAAAAUUAGUAGUUACACUCGGCAAUAUGAAUUGUUCCAAAUGGAACAAAAUGAGAGUGUGUAUUCUAUGUAUACUAGAUUUACGGACAUAGUGAACACUCUAGGAGCCCUAGGAAAGACUUUUUCAAAUAGCGAGAAAGUUAAGAAAAUUAUUAGGUCGCUACCUAAGGAAUGGAGACCAAAAAGGACGGCCAUUGAGGAAGCCAAAGAUUUAAAUAUCUUACCUAUUGAUGAUUUAGUUGGUUCUCUUAUUUCUUAUGAGGAAGACUUGGCAGCCGAAAAAGGCAAUGAGGAGAAGAAGAAAAGCAUUGAUCUCAAAGCCUCGAAAUAUGAGAGUGAUGAGGAAAGCGAGCUGGAUGAGGAGGAGAUGGAUAUGCUGGCUAGGAAGUUCAGAAAAUUUUUUAAGAAAUCCAGUGAGCGAAGAAAAUUUAGAGACCUCAAGAACCGAAAAGAGAAUAAGGAAGUAAUCAAAUGUUAUGAGUGCAAGAAACCUGGCCAUAUAAGAUCGGAAUGCCCUCUUCUCAACAAGCUCAAGAAGAAAGCAAUGGUAGCCACAUGGGAUGAUAGCGAGGAGGAAACAAGUGAUGAUGAAGAGCAUCAAGAAAUGACAAAUCUAGCUCUUAUGGCAAUUGGAGAUGAAUCGGAUGAUGAACUUGAUGAGGUAAAUGAUCUUCCUACUUAUGAUGAAUUACAUGAUGCUUUUAAAGAAUUGCAUGAUGAGUGGAUGAAAAUUGGUAAAAAGAAUGCAUGUUUUAAAAAGAAAAUGGUAGAGCUCAAAAAUGAAAAUGAAUCUCUAUGUGCAAAGAUUACAUGCCUAGAAUUAGAGAAUAAAAUAUUGCAUGAUAGAGUUGCAUUAUCAAAUGAGAAACCUAGCACUUCACAUGAGCAUCUAGAAUAUCACAUAGAUGACUUGAAAAAGGAAAAUGAAAUGCUUAAGAAGAAGAUCAAUGAGUUAAAUGAGAUUGUUUUAAAAUUUACAAAUGGAUAAAAGAUGUUGGAUAACUUGAUUAAUUCACAAAAAUGUGUGUUUGAUAAAAGACGACUUGGUUAUAAGCCAAAUUUGAAACAAAAGUAUUAUAAGAAUUACUUUGUGAAGAGUACAUCUAUUAACAAUCAAGUUGUAUGUCAUUAUUGUAAUCAAAACGGUCACAUGAAGUUUGGUUGUCCUAUUAAAAGAAAAGUAUAUUAUGGAGUAAAAUGUGUUUGGGUUCCAAAAGGAACCAUUGCUAACACUCAAGGACCCAAUAGUAUUUUGGGUACCAAAGGACACAACGUGACUAUUUUCUUUGUAGGUACCACAAUCAAGGAAUGGUGGAGAAGUUCCUUGAUGAAAUCUUGUGAGGAUAAUCACUUGAGUAUGAUCUAGGAGAAAAAGAUGAGGCAAGAUGAUUUAAUUGUUUUGGUAACAAUUCUUGCCAUAUUAAUUUUGUUGAAUGAAUCAUGAUAAAUGAAUUUGUGAAAGUAUGCUUGUAUGUUUACAUGAUGGAAUUAUCAUUUUGUAUAACAUUGAGUGAUUUAUCAUGAUGUCUUUGUUUGAUUUUGAUGAUUGUAUGGUCUUUGAUUUCAUCUUCUUAAUUGUCUAUUAUCAUUGUCCAUCUCUUAUGUAUGUGUGAAUUCAUAUGCCAUUAAUUGUGUUAUAUUAUUUAUAAAAUUCGCAAAAAUGACUUAUUGCACUUAUGAAUUUGAUCACUUGUUCUUACUUAUAAUGAUGGCUUUUCUUAAUAGCUAUGUUGAUUUUGAUGAUCUUAUAUUGUCAUUAUGUACUUAUGUUUUACUUAAGUUUUGAUGAUAAAGAAUGUGCAUUGAUGAUUACAUUGUAUUUAAUGAAGCUUUGAUCUUAUGCAAUCUAUGAUUAGUGAAUGAAUGCAUUUUUUGUACUUUAUUGAUGCAUUGUUGAAUAUGCCUUACUUGUUUUAAAUGAUAUCGAAAAAGUAUAUAAGAUUUUUUAAGUUAUAUUGAAAUGUCACAUUAGAUCUUUGAUAAGUUUAAUUGUCUUGAUUUCUAAAAUGUGAUUAAUAAUUAUGGAGCUUGGAUAUUUGAUAAUAUGUUCUUAUAACUUUUGCAUGCUAAUUUGGUAAACAAAUAAAAACUCUUUGCGAAGAACAAUUUUCAAAAAUUCGGCAUGAACUUAGGAUGAUGAAAUUUAUUAAUAUCUCUAAUAAUGUUAUUAAUACUAUUAAAAUUGAUUUCUUGAUGAUUUUGAUGAUUGAUGAUUAUAUGUGUGUUGCUUGAUGAAUUGAUGGAGUUGUUGGUUUGUUAUAAUUGUUUAAGCUUAUAUGGAAGUAUUUUUAACCAUGUUGUGUAUUUGAGGAUUUGUUCAUUUUUAAGGAGAGACUUUGCCGAAAGUUUUGCUCUCACAAAAUGGGUAAUAUCGUCAUCGAAUUAUUUUUGAUGAUCUUGUUUCGAUUGCAUCUAUCUAUCUUUUCUUUUUUACGAUGAAGUGGGAGAUAAAUAUGAUAUAUUUUUGGAUAAAAUUAUUUCGAUUAAAAUUUUAAAUUGGCCAUAUAUUUAGGGGGAGCAUAUAAUAUGAUUUUGGAUAAUAUGCAUUUUGAACUUUUUUGUUGUCCAAAGGGGGAGACAAAAUAAUAUAUCAUUUCGAUGUUGUCAAAAGGAGGAGAAUAAUAUGCAUUUUGAGUAAUUGUUUUGAUAAUUGAUAUGUGAUUAUGGUGAGGACUUGAUGAUUUUGAGAUAUGAUGAUGAUUUGAUUACAUGGGUGUUUUAUAUGAUAAAUUGAUGUUAUCAGUUGUUGACUUGGUAAUUGAUGGAAUAAUGGUUCAUGAUAUUUUUGUGUGAUGAUUUGUGUAGGAAGUUGGCUUGUAUCAUGAUUUAUAAUAAUUUGGGAGUAAUAUUACUAAACUUGUAUUUGAAGUGAUGCUUGUUGUUAAGGGAAAAUUCUAUCAAAAUUUCUACUCGGACAACAUGGGUAACAAAUUUGCUACUUUUAUUCUUUUCCUUUAAGUUUUCGUUUUGAUAAUGAAGGGGGAGAAGAAUACAUGUUUUUAAAUUUAUAAAAAUUUGCUACUCUUUUUCUUUGCCAAUUAAGUUUUCUUUUUGAUGAUGAAGGGGGAGAAAAAUGCAUGUAUUUAAAUUUGUUAAUUUAGUUACUUGGCAAAUUGUAAGAGAAGAUUAUAUUUUGGGGAAGCAAUUUGUGGAAUCAUUCUUUAAAUACAUUCAAGGUUUGUCAUCAUCAAAAAGGGGGAGAUUGUUAGCAUAUAUGUAUCCAUAAUGUUGAUUUUGAUGAUAACAAACAAGAUUAAGAAUGAUUAAGUUUUUAAAAGAUCAAAUUAUUUUAAAUAAAUCAUUAUUAUCACAUUUUAAAGGUUUUAUAUUUAAUGGAAAAAUGAUUUUAUGAAAUUAUUUGUUUUUCAAGUUUAUGGUUUAAUUGAAAGAGUUUUGAAAACUUUGAAAUCAACAAGUAUUACUUGAAAUUUUGGAGAAUGAUUUAUUUGAAAAGUAUUCAUAGCAUUUUGGGCUAUAUAAUAAUUUCAGAAAGUUUUGGGAAUAGUAAGCAUUAUUUAGAAAUUCUGAAAUUGGACUUAUUUGCUAAAUGUAUAACGUUUUGGGCUAUAGUACAGUUAUAUAAAGUUUUGGGCUCAAACUAUUAUUUUACAAAAUAAUUCACUAUAGCAGUCGCUGUAGAAAACGGCGAUCCGACAUCUUGAUAACGGCUCGCCAACAUCUAACAGAAUUGAAGAUUAGCCUCUGGACCUAAACGGCGAUCCGACAAUUUUGAUAAACGGCUCGCCGAUAUCGAACAGAACUGAAGAUUAGCCUAUGCACCUAAACGGUGAUCCGACAUUUAGAUAACGGCGAUCCGACAAUUUGAAAAUCAGCCCAACGGUCAUAUUGACCAGUCAAACGGCGAUCCGACAUCUAGUUAACGGCGAUCCAACAGUGUGCAGAAAGUCAAUAACGGCUAGUUUUCAGCUCCAUCUAUAAAUAAGCUCAUUCAAAUUCAAACAAGAAGAAUUCCAACGAUCAUCAUUGAGCAAAAUAUUGAGAAUACAACUUUCAUUGAGCUUUAAAUCAUUGUAUUCAUCACAUUCAUUCCCACAGUGAGCUUUCACUUGUGAUCAAACACAUUGUGUAAGAGAGAUUCAUUUGUAAUCCUUUUUGUAAAAUUAAGUUAAAAGAUUGUAAGUGUUGGGAUACACUUGGGUUAAGAGAUUAGGGAUAAUCUCUUGUUGUGAAGGUUCAUUGACACCUUGGAAGUUAAUUGUAAACGUUUGAAGCCUUGGAAAGGCUCGGAUAGUGAAAUCCUCAAGCCCGGUGUGCUUGGAGGCGUGGACGUAGGCGGGGAUUGCCGAACCACGUAAAAAUCCUUGAGUUUGCUUUCUCUUCCCUUACUCAUUUAUUAUUGUGCUUUCAUUGAAUUUAUUGUUUUCGAAUUUAUUAAGGCAUUAGAUUGGAUUGUUGUGUGGUUUUCUUAGCUUAAAUUUUAAAAUCUCAAUUCACCCCCCUCUUGGAUUGCCUAGUUAGUAUUUCAGCUGACAGAUCUCAUGCAUAUCCAGAAGGAAAGAUUGAAGAUGUGUUGGUGAAGAUGGAUAAAUUUAUUUUUCCAGUGGAUUUCAUUGUGCUAGACUUUGAGGCAGACAAAUAAGUGCCAAUCAUUCUAGGGAGACCUUUCUUAGCCACGAGAAAGACUUUAAUUGAUGUUCCAAAAGGAGAAUUAACCAUGAGGGUGAAUGACCAGCAAGUUACAUUCAAUGUGCUGGAUGCCAUGAAGAGUCCCAAUGAGAUUGAAGAUUGUAAUUUUAUAAGUGUUGUGAACCUUGUUGUAAUAGAAAGAUUACACAGUUGCUGCAAUAAGAAAGAAAUCAAUACUAUAACAAUUAAAGAACUCGAUGAUGAAGAUCAUGGAGCAGCUAACAUAGCAUGGUCAGGGGAGAAGCAACCCUUCAAAAUUGACGGGCAAAUCCAGCAAAGGGAAUUCACUCCAGACCAACAAGAAUUCAAGGUUAAUGGGCCAAGAGUGAAGCACUAUAUGGGAGAUGAUGUGAACAACCUAAGGAAGGAUCGGUUCUUGAAGGAUCCAGGUUGAGGAAACAAGAAAGGUCAGGCUGAAAGACUUAAAAUCAAGCGCUAAUUGGGAGGCAACCCAAUAAGGGAAGUUGUUUUAAAUCUUUAAAGCAUUAAAUUUAGUUUUUAAAUUAUUGAAUUUUUCUUGUUGUUAUUUUAAGUGUGCAUCUAUUGUUUUAUGUCUUUGUGUUAAAUUGCAGCAUGUAAAAAAAAAAAAAAAAAAAAAAACCAAAAAAUGCAAAAAAAAAAAGCAUGAAUGAAUUGUUGCAGCAUCAUUUACUGCAUGAUAUAUAACAGAAGAUUCUCAAACAACAGAGGCAUUUCUUGCUUUUACAGUAGCAAAUGGAUUGAUAAGAUUUUAUGAUAAGGAGCGUUUGAGAAGUAUAUCAAAGAAAAAGUGACCCUUUACAUCCUAUGUUGUAGCAGUGCUUCCAGCAAUAAGGAAGUACCCUUACCCGCUAGUUUAUUUUACUUCUUUUUGCAAAACUUUUCUUUCAUUUAGUUUUAAUUUUCUAAUUCAUUCUGCAUGUCCUUUUAUUUAGUGUAUGCAUGUCUGGUUCAUGUGGUUUUGUUUUGUGUGCUCGUGAGGGCACAACACCACUCAAGUUUGGAGGGGUUGUGUUUUUAAGUACAUGUGUUUAUGUUUGUGUUGUGUGUUGUGUGAAGCUCUGUUAUCUAAUAUUUGUGUAUGGAUUUGAAAACCUAAUGAAGAUAAAUUGAGUGUUAUUUAAUAUUUAUGAGAAUGACAAGUAGAGAUAAUUAUAGAUGGAAGUUGAAAUUAUGUCCUGACACUUAGAGUUUGGUUGAGUUUUAUGAGAAUGUUGUAGCAGAGCCAGGAAAACAAAAAAAAGAGUAGAAAAUAUCUCAAGUUUGAGGGAAAUUUUUUGUUGAACUGUGCUUGUUAUGAAAUAAAUUCUGCUCCAAUGGUUUAAGUUGCUGAGUAACUAGGGUUGAGUAUGCACCCCAUAUGCAAACUUGAGUCCAAAGGCAACAAGAGCUAUGAGCAGUGCUGCAACAAUUAUAUAUAAAAAAAUUAAAAAAAAGGUAAAAAAAAAUGGUGAUGAAGGAAUGGAAAAUAAAGAGGUCCGCUGCCUAGGAUACUGAGUAACCUGGUCUGUUCAUUAGCCCCAUGUUCAGCCUUGAGUCAAAGGCGUCCAAAGGUAAGACUUAGAUAUAACAUCCUGGAUGUGUUGUUGCAGCAACUCUGACAUGUACUUUGAGUAAGUAAUUAGGUGUCGUCAUUACAAGUGAUGGGCACUCACAUGAAAGCUCAAUGUUGCAUUGAAGGGUUUAACUGAAAAAAAAAAAGUAUAAUUAUUGUAGCACAGUUUGAGUUUAUUUGUGAAUUCUACUCCCUCAUGUGUGAAUAUAUUUGUGUUCUAUCUUUAAAUUAUAUGUCUGUGUAAUACUGUAGCACCUCUGGAACUUGAUCAAAGUGGCACACACACACUCUGGAUAGAAUGAAGCCUAAGUCUAGAACUAAACUACUAUGGCUAUUUUGCAUGAUUAAGAAUGUGAUCUAAGGGUUGAAGAAUCCUUACAAAUUUGAUGACAGAGCUAAGUUAUUUAUUGAAUGAUUGUGUGAUUGAAGUGUUAGUGUUAUUGUCAUUACUUGAGGACAAAUAAUGGUUUAAGUUUAGGGGUGUGAUAACUCUAUGAAAUGAGAGUUAUCAUGACACUUUUAAACUUAAAUCAAUACUACUUAGAGAGUAAAAUUGUGUUUCUAUUGCAUUUUUUGUUACAUUUUGCAUAAAUAAUCAUUUUAGUCAAUCUUAAUAAGUUUUGCUCGAUUUAAAGUAAUUUUUACUCAAAUUGUGUGCAUAAUUGUAGGUUUUCAGAAGCUUAUAAUUCAUGGAAGGAAUGUUAUGUAAUAAGCUUGCAAAAAUAAGGAAAGAACAUGGCUACAAAAGAGUUGAAAUAAAUCUGGAACAGUGCAGUUGCUGUAGAUAUUGCUGUAGCAAUCCUAGAACAACGACAGAAAAAAUUUUGUAUGGGAUAAUUGCAGAAUUGCGUUCUGCAGUUUCCUAAUCUGACUUAUGCGCGACCUAGGCUUCUGUUUACCCUAAUUUUCAACUAUAAAAGAAGCAUACAUCAUAAGGAAAAGAGAAGGCCAUCACCCAAGGAGAAAAGCACAAAGAAACAAAAGAAAAAUAAGAUUCAAGAGAGAGAUUAAGGGCUAUACAAGAGAAAAAAUUGCAGAGAUCAAUUGGGAGCUCAAUCCUUCUUAUCCUUCUCUUGUUUUCGUAUUUUCUAUUUACUCAUGAGGAUGUGUUUCAUGGCUGAAACUUUAUUCUUUAUUUUUCUUUUGCAAACCAUGAACUAAAUUUAUUUGUGGUUGAGUGAUAAACAAUCUUAAUGGUUUAUUGACUGAAUAUAUGUGUUGCUGCAUGUUUGCUGUAGCAGUUUGUUUUAAUAGUAUUUAUUUUUAUUCAUCAUUUCGGUUGAUCGCCCAUUUAAUGAUACAAGUUAGGAGAUAGCCGCAAAAGAGCAUAUCUUAGUGGAACAUAUCAGAGCAAUACUUGGUUUUAGAUUGAGUUUCAUGGAUUGAGUUUAACUUAUCCCAAAAGGGUCAUGCUUAAUCUAAAAUUAGUGAUGAACUAGACAUAGGGAUUCACUUUGUAGGGUAAAUAGAACUUAAGCGUGUAAUGCUAUAUCUUAUGUUGGCAUAACAACUGAUCAUUCUUAGGUUGCAUAUAGAUAUAAGAUAUCCAACAUGCGACGGCUGAUGAUACAUAAGGAUUCUACCCAAUGCUGUAGCAAAUGCUGCAGCAAUCGAGUCAAACAUUAGAAAAAUAGUCAAUACCAUAAAGAGAGUUUAUUUACUCAACUACUCUAUAUUCUCAUUGGUUUUAUUCUUGAGUUUGACGUGAUAAUUUAUUUUGUUGCAUUUUAUUUAUUGUGCUUUUAUUUUAAUUAGUAUAAUAGUUUCACUAAGUGUUUUAUUUUAAUUUAGCACAAAAUCUGCACUGUUGAGAUUGCUGUAGCAAAUCUAAUAACAUCAAUUCCUGUGUAGACGAUCUUGAAUACUCAUUACUUUAUUACUUUAUUACUUUUUGUGUACACUUGCACAUUGACACUAAUAGCAUUAGUAUUUUUACAACAACAACUACCCAUACACUCAAUCCUUUAUCCACUAAUCACUCAAAAGCUUAUUAAAAAAUAAUUUAAUUCUCUCACUCAACGCUUCACUUCUAAUUGAAGAAUGGGGUGACAAAGAGGAGAAAUGAAGCCUCUAUUAUUCCCUCUCCUUUUUUUCUAUAUUUUUAUUAUUAUUAAAAUAAAUGAGUCACCAGAGUUCUUCCAACUUCCCGUAAAUAGGACCGAGAUAUUCUUCAUUUCUUUUUCCACGCGCGCACAGAAACGCGAGGACUUAACUUAUUGACUUUUGGGUAUCGGAGUCUCCUUCGCAUCUUCAUCCCCGUGUCAAAUUUCUUAGGUGUCAGAUAAUUAUGACUAGGAACAUUAGAGAAACAAAACAAAGCAACCGGAGUGAAAAGAAAAAGGAAAAGAACUGGCCGGUGAUAUAAUAAAAUAAAUAAAUUGAUCUAUCCGCAAGACGAAUAUGAAUGUGAUCCUCGUGUUUGUCACCGCGCUAAGCGUUCAAAUCAGCCUCACAAAGGCGGAUGAUAAGCCUACUUACAUUUAUCAUAAUUGCCCCAGCACAAAUUUUACUCCAAACAGCGCUUACCAAUCCAACCUCAAUCUCCUGCUCUCUAAUCUUCGGUCUAACGCCACCCCCGGCAGCAGCGACAAAUUCUCCAAAGGAUUCUACAACACUACUACAGGCCAUGAACCCAACAAGGUCUACGGUCUCUUUCUCUGCCGUGGUGAUUUCGGUGCGGAAACCUGCCAAAAUUGUGUCAGUGUUGCUACCUCAGAUACAGCCCAACUCUGUCCUUCCGGAAAGGAGAAUACAAUUGGGUACGAAGAGUGCCUUUUACGUUAUUUGAACAUUUCUUUCUUUUCAGUCCUGGACAUCUCGGUCAGACUCUCCCAAUGGAAUGUAGAAAAUUCUCCAAGUCGAUCAUUUGACCAGUUCGUGUGGAAUUCGAUGAACGAAGCAGUCAAUCAGGCUCUAAGUACUACCAAAAUGUUUGCGACCGUAAAGAAAAAUUAUACAGCCUCUCAAACGCUAUACAGCCUCGUUCAGUGCACGCCGGACUUGUCAAGAGAUGACUGUAGCAGCUGUCUUCGUUUAGCUAUUUCACCCUUGAACGGAUGCUGUAGCAUUAAGAUAGGAGGAAGAGUGAUGUAUCUGUUGUGCGCGGAAUGCGGAAUCAAGCGCACCAAAUAAUUACUGAAAAAUAAAGGACACAAGAAUUUACGUGGUUCGGUAAUUAAACCUACAUCCACGGAGGCAAGAAAGAAUAAUUGUUUAUUUAACAAUUAAUAGAGUACAAUAUUUGAGUAAUGAAUCUCACUUCCCAGAAACCCAAAUAUACUAAGUACUCUCACACUCUGUAGGAAAGAUGAAUUCCCCAGACACACUUCUCUCACUUCUCUCAAAAGCUUAGAAACUUAUAAGCUUAACAAUUUUGGGAUGAUUUCAAAUGAAUGAAAUACUUAGCUACUUAUAGGAGAAAUGAAUUACUAUGCAAAGAAUAAAAUAAUUGAAAAUAUAAUAAAUUAUUAUUAUUAUUUUCAAUCCAUCCCCUUUUUCCAUUCUUUCUUUUCGGCUUACAAAUUCAAUUUGAUUUUGCUUCUCCAAAGUUUGCAUGCUAGCUGUUGCAAAGUUGGCAUUGGCUUCUGACUUUUCAACAGUAUCCCAGUUGCAACUUCCGAUAUGAGCUGUACCAGUUUUAUAAUGAUAUGUCGAUCGGGACACUGCCGCCUACGGUUUUUUCUCCGCCGUCUCCUAGUUCUGUAACAAGCUCUAAAGGUAAACUAAUUUUGAAUUUCAUUCUUCACGUUAGAAAUUAACAUCAAAUUUGAUAACUAUCCUUUAAAUUAAGUUCGUUAAAAUUAUUCGAACUCUUUUGUGAGAAUGUAAUACAAUCCCUGGUUUAAGAUAAAUCAAAUUCGAUAGAUAGCCACUCUUUAAAUCUGUAGUUAUUGCAUUACUAAUUUUAAAUACUUCAGAAGGAUAAAAUAAAAUAAAAUAACAAGUAUGUGGUUUUGGUAUCUAGGAGGCAAAGGAAAGAAAGCAACAUGGAUUGCAAUUGGCACAAUUAUACCAACAAUUACUCUAUUCAUACUGUUGGGUUCUUUUUUUUGGUGCAGGAGGAGAAGAAAUAAAGGUAAUAAUGAAUUUUUCCAAAGGUUGUUUUGUCUUUUCACAAAUAUGUUAUAUAAAAAAAAGGAGAAUUUGUUUUUGACAUUUUGCGCCUCUCAAUUCCUAUUGUCUCUACAAAAUAAUAUUGUUACAGAAAGUGAUCUAAACUCUCCUACUGUUUAUCGAUCCAAAUCAUUUCACCACCACUGUUGCAAAAUCCAUCAAUUUUUUUUCAAAAAAAAAAAAAGCCUUAGAAAUUUUUGCUGAACAAAGUAGGAGUUCACAGGGAUAAAACAGUAAUAAAGAAAGAAAUUGAUAGCUGAUAUUUUUUCAAUGACAGAAGGGUUUUGAUUAACUUUAAAGCAAAAGAAAAAUGAUUAAUUAAUUUAUUAAUUUAAAACAGCAAGGAAAUUUGAUCAAUUUCCCCAAAAUGAAUAAUUCCUGAGGUUCAGAUUUCAACGUCGUUCCAAAACUAAUAUGAAAUUAUCGGAAAAUUAUACUUGCGACAAGAGAAUGAAACAUUUUCAUCUAUUUUUUUCCCCAAAAAGAAAGUAAAGUUAAUAUGUCUUGCAGCGAAGAAAGCAAUAAAAAAACAAGAACUUUAUACGAGAGAAGGUAGAAUUGGGGACGACGAGUCAAACGAUACAUUAGGUGGAGAGGCGCAAGAGGGAUCUCAUCAAGAGUUCCCAAUCUUCCCAUUAGGUCAAGCACUCGAGGCUACAAACCAUUUCUCUCAUGAAAAUAAGCUUGGAGAAGGUGGUUUCGGCCCUGUGUACAAGGUACUUUGCUUUAAUUUAUUUAAGCAAUUAAACCAGUAAUGCCAUGAGUGUUAGAGCGUGUCCUCUGACUCAAGGCCCUGUGGUUAAUUCCGUGCUGUCAGUCGGCUCAGAUUUGAACAAAUCUUCGCCGAGGUGGAGAAUUGUUGAAAAGUCAAAGAAGAGCUUGCCAAUUUCAAGGUUGGUAGCACGAUUCAACAAAUUGUUGGUUACACCAACAAUUGUAGAGAUUUUUCAAGCCGAAAAGAAAGAAUGGACAAAGGGGAUGGAUUUGGAAAAUAAUAAUAAUUAAAAAUUAUAUUUUUAAUUAUUUUAUUCUUUGCAUAGUAAUUCAUUUCUCCUAUAAAUAGCUAAGGAUUUCAUUCAUUUGAAAUCAUCCCAAAAUUGUUAAGCUUAUAAGUUUCUAAGCUUUUGAGAGAAGUGAGAGAAGUGUGUCUGGGGAAUUUAUCUUUCCUGCAGAGUGUGAGAGUACUAGGUAUAUUUGGGUUUCUAGGAAGUGAGAUUCGUUACUCAAAUAUUGUAUUCUAUUAAUUGUUAAAUAAACAAUUAUUCUUUCUUGCCUCCGUGGAUGUAGGUUUAAUUACCGAACCACGUAAAUUCUUGUGUCCUUUAUUUUUCAGUAAUUUUUUUGGUGCGCUUGAUUCCGCAUUUCGCGCGCACAACAUCAACCCCAAGAUAUCCUACGCUUAACAACGGUUUUGUAAGAUUUGAGUUCUAUCAUGUGAGUUCAUGACAACUGGUUGUCAGACCAGGUGCUUUGAGUUGUGGACAAAUCUUCUCCAUUCCCCAUGCAUUCAACGCUUUUAUUAGAUUCUUAUAAUGUGUAUCUGUAUUUCACCAACAAUCAUGAAUUUGCAUAUUGCUCACUUUCAGGGAAAACAACUGAAAAAAAGUAUAUUGACCAAAUGAAUUUUGAUAUGGGAAGUAUUGAUCGAAUGUAACUCAAACCAGCGAUUUAGAUUUUUGUUUUGUUAACAAUAUAAAUUUGCGUCCAGGGUAUAUUAGCGGACGGGAAGGAAAUUGCAGUAAAGAGACUCUCAAGAUCAUCCGGCCAAGGGCGACAAGAGUUCAAGAAUGAAGUUACUUUAAUCGCCAAAUUACAACAUAAAAAUCUUGUGAGACUACUGGGAUGCUGUUUAGAUGGAAAUGAACUGCUGCUCAUCUAUGAAUAUAUGCCCAACAAAAGCCUUGAUCUCUUCCUUUUUGGUUUGCCUCUUAAAACUUUCUAAAUCUAGUUCAGUCUUGGUUACAUUUAUUUUCACAUGCCGCUGGUAGCUAAGUUCUGCAAAUAAAACGGAUUCGUGACGUUAGGUUCAGGUGCUUUGCCAUAUUCGUGACGCUGGGAUAAAAGCUUAAAUUAAUGAUCUUGGUGCACCAUAUUUCCCUUCUAGAUUCCUAACUUGUGAGCAGGAUUUUGGGUUGAUUUUAUGUCAUAUGAAGCCUUUCAAUUACACGCAUUUAUUAUGGUAUGUAUUGUCUGUGGGAAGUAGCUAACAAGCACAAGUAAUGAAUCUAGAUCCAAAGCUUGAUCUAAUAUGUGUUGAGUUUUUAAAGAUUUUAUAUCAUCUUUACAUUUAUAAUAGUAUAUGAUAUAAAUAAUUAUUUUUUCAGUUGUAUCCCACAGAUAAUUAUCGAUAAGAGUCUUAGAAUUUUCCUCAACACAUGAUCAAAUCAAUCAACAUAAAAUUAAAAUUUCACGAAUCAAUAACUUUUUCUAUUUCUUUCUCGCCUUAAAGAUUAAGCAUGACAAAAAAAGUACUCAAGUGCAUAUUGUGCUUUUCCCUUGGUUUUCAGAUUCAACUAGGGGUGCACAAUUGGAUUGGAAAAGACGCAUAUGCAUCAUUAAUGGAAUUGCUCGAGGCCUUUUGUAUUUGCACGAGGAUUCUCGACUCAGGGUUAUUCAUCGAGAUCUUAAAACUAGUAAUAUCUUGUUGGAUCAUGAGAUGAACCCCAAGAUAUCAGACUUUGGAAUGGCAAGAAUCUUUGGCGGCAAUCAAAAUGAAGCUAAUACUAAUAGAGUUGUUGGAACAUAGUAAGUACAAAUCUAUUUUACCACAUACUAAGUACUGAGAAUUUAUCUAAAAUAAUGUGCGUUGAUUGACUUCAUUUAUUUAUUUGACAUUUAUUUCCAACAGUGGAUAUAUGGCACCCGAAUACGCAAUGGAAGGAGUAUUUUCAAUAAAAUCAGAUGUUUUUAGUUUCGGAGUUCUUCUUCUAGAGAUUAUAAGUGGAAAAAGGAACAGUGGAUUUUAUCUUUCGGAGGACGGUCACAGCCUCCUUACUUAUGUAUGCGGCCUUUUUUUAGUUUAGUCUUAACAUGAUUGGUAAUUGAAAGAUCUCUUCUUUUGACUCAAAAGAUUUUACCGUUUGAACUAGUUCAUACUUGAGAACAUGCAUGUAUGCAACUAUCUUUAUCACUCAUUUGGAAGAAUGAUUUCUCGAUGAUUAAUGAUAGGAUACUAAUCUUUGUUCGCGACAUUUCAGACAUGGAAAUUAUGGUGUAAAGGAGAAGCUCUGGAGCUGAUGGAUCCAGUACUCAAGCAGUCAUGCGUGGGCGCUGAACUUCUGAAAUAUAUACAUAUUGGAUUGUUGUGCGGUCAGGAAGACCCAGCCCGCAGACCUAGCAUGUCAUCUGUGGUUGUAAUGUUGGCGAGUGAUACAAUAACACUUCCUCCACCAACCCAGCCUGCAUUUUCUGUUGGCCGAAUGGUUGCUAGUUCUGGUCCAUUCUUUUCAUCAGAUUCUAAAUUUUGCUCUAUU